Molecule: long non-coding RNA, 49416 nt
Filed under: Nicotiana benthamiana
Lineage: Eukaryota; Viridiplantae; Streptophyta; Magnoliopsida; Solanales; Solanaceae
Description: long non-coding RNA (NBEN_LNC028143)
Source: RNAcentral
AAGAGACUAUGAAAAUCCAACUCAAGUAGAAGAGUCCACAAAUUUAAAGUUAGUCGAUCAAUCUCUGCAUCGUGACUACAUUUCUCAUAAACAAACUGGAAAUACACAAUUCAGUUAUUGGUAGUUUACUACAAAAUCAGUUGAAAUGACUAGCGACGCUACAGCAUAAUUACAACAGAGAAACUGAGGAAUAAUUCACUCCACAUCUUUUCUUCAAAUCGCUCUGCAUCUUUUCCUCAAAUUCUUCUAUAGUGAGCACAGGUUGGAGUACAUGCUGGUCUCUUUUCUUGCAUCCACAAAGGUCAAAUCAAAUGAAACAUCCAUAGCUCUCUGGACUGCUCCCUCUUAAGUCGCCACAUGACUGUUCCCUUGGAUUGAUUAAGACUAAAACCAUCACCUUGACAUAACAACAACAACAACUACCCAGUAUACUCCCACCAGGUGGGGUCUGGGGAGGGUAAUANNNNNNNNNNNNNNNNNNNNNNNNNNNNNNNNNNNNNNNNNNNNNNNNNNNNNNNNNNNNNNNNNNNNNNNNNNNNNNNNNNNNNNNNNNNNNNNNNNNNNNNNNNNNNNNNNNNNNNNNNNNNNNNNNNNNNNNNNNNNNNNNNNNNNNNNNNNNNNNNNNNNNNNNNNNNNNNNNNNNNNNNNNNNNNNNNNNNNNNNNNNNNNNNNNNNNNNNNNNNNNNNNNNNNNNNNNNNNNNNNNNNNNNNNNNNNNNNNNNNNNNNNNNNNNNNNNNNNNNNNNNNNNNNNNNNNNNNNNNNNACCCAACCCCGGGUGAGGCGAACGAAGGACUCUAAGAGCCCCUAUCCUGCAACCCUGAUUCUAGACCUCCAGACUCCCCUAUCGAGGGUCAUGUCCUCCAUCACCUUGACAUAAAAAAUAUAUAUUUUGAGUGGUUUGAGAUUUACCAAAAAGAAAUAAACAUGACAGUCUGCUAUCACAUAGAGCUACAAGGUCUUUGUGCCCCAGGACAAAUGGCAUCUUGAUGUACCAAAGAGAGAAACAAGACACUGUUUUAUAUCACAUAAAAGUGCUUGAAUUUGAGUAUCUCUUAACAAGUGGCAUACUGAUGUACUGCUAGAGCCCAGCAACACAACUGAACUUAUUGAUGACAAAAGGCAAACUUAAUUCCAUUUCCAAGCCACAAAUAAUAUGAAGAAAGCUUCUAAACUAAAACUCUCCUUUUUUUCUUAGACCAGCUUCUGCACCUCGACCAAUCUACCGGACAGCUUGUUUAACCAACAAAUACAGGUUGCGAGGAAAGUCGUGCCUACCAAGGUUGGAGCAGUUGAGCUCGCCAAGUGUUAUAAUUGAGAUUGGAACCUCGAAAACCAAAUCCUCUUCAAGCUUACGUUUCCUUUAGUAGUCAAUUGACAAUAUCAACUAUGACUAACCCUUGAAGAUGUGCCCUAACGGUCAAAUAGUUGGACAACUUGGAAACAAGGUUCAAAUUCUAGUACACCAAGUGAAUUCGUCUCUUAAGUCUUGUUAGGAAAAGUUACUUUAACACCUAUGUUGAUAGAAGGUAACAAGUACAUUAUGGAUUAGACGAGGUAAGUGCAAACUUACCUGGACACAACGGUUAUCCAGAAAAAACAUCAAGUAUGACUAACAUGCAAAAGCUAUAUGUGAAGACGAGGGAAUCUACCUUGAUCUAAACAUGUUCUCAAAUAAUUUUGUUUCUUAUUUCUUCAAGCUUUUUCAAAAUCUCGCCUGGUGUUCUGUCCAACUCAUCUGCAAUUUUGCGCUGCAUAUCCAUUGGCAAGGUUGGGAACUGUUCGCACAAGUCUCCAUCUAUCACAUCCUGCAAAACAGUUCCAAUAUAUCACCAUUAUCAUCAACAUUAGGUACUACAACAAUAACAACAACAACCCACUAUAGUCCCACAAAGUGGGGACAGGGGAGGGUAUCAACAUUAGAUAAGGAUUGAAUAAUCAAGGUGAUUUAAAUAUAUGAAAUAAAAAGAGCAUACACUCUUAAUAGUAUCAUGUAAUGUAGUUAAUAUCAGACCUGAAAUUUGUAACAGUUUCAGCUAAAGGUGCAUAAUUCAACACUCGAAAAUGCGACCUAGGCAUAUAAUCAACUUGGUAGACAUAGAAACAGCCUGUGACAACUUAGAGUUGCCUUUUAUCCAAGCAUGCAAAGCACUUCAAAAUAGUGAAAUCAAGAAAAACAUAAACAUUCACAAGGCACACUAAAUUGCUCAUUACAACAACAACAACAACAACUACCCAGUAUAGUCCAACAAAGUGGGAUCUGGGGAGGGUAAUAUGUAGUCAGGCCUUACCCCUUCCCGAAGGGCAGAGAGGUUGUUUCCAAUCGACCCUCGGCUUAGUGAAGAAAAGGAAAAGCAAAAACAAAAACAAAAGAGCAUUAGUAACUCCAGCAGAAAUAGCGUAAAUAAUUAUCUAAACAUAAGAACCAUAAAUAAAAUAGUAUGCAAUGAUGUGUAACUACCUUAUUGUCAAACGAUAUAGCCGAUCGAGGACACAACUACUUAUAAUCCAUGAUAGCACAAACCCAUUUGCUGUUCGAGAACUGCUCAAUGAUUUGAAUAUCCAGCCAUUUUAUCGGUUAAACAUUUUAAUUGGAGCCUAGGGCAGAACAGGUUAAGCUUACUACCAACCAAGUCAUGUAAAGUAGCUAAUGACAAAUUCCCAGUUUCACUUCAGCAUUAAUUUAGCUUCGCAAGGAAGUUUAUUUACACUCAUUUGCUACAUCAGCGCAUCUCUGCUACUAAUCAGGAUUUCAAACUAAAUACCACUUUCCGCAUUGGACAUUAAGGAAAUAGCUGAUUGAGCAGUACAAGCUUACCUUAACUGGGAAGUAAGCAGAUCUGUAGGCCAUGUGAUCCCUGCCACAUAAAGGUGGGAACUCCUGCCUCAAAUGCAUCUCCAAAUGAGAGAAGAAGUCAACAUCAUCCCUCGAGGUAAAUGGAAGCAUUGCCCCAACGCUCCCCAUCACAGUCCCGUAAAUUACACAUUCACCCCCUCCUGGAAUAAGUGAUGCUCUUUGCAAGCAAGAGACCACAUCACCAACAUGAAACUGCACUAUUUCCUCAACCUUGUUUGGGGCUCCAUUCAGCUUCCCCUGCUCCCAUUUUAUUUUUCCACCAGUAGGGUCUUCUUCAAUCUCAUCUGAGACAUCCUGAGGUAAUCGCACAAAGUAGAUAUUCCCAAACUUGUCAGCUCCUGCCACUGUGUCAAAAUCUACAUGCUGUGCUGCGGUUAGCCAUCUCGGAACCAUGUCAUCAGCAAAUAUGUACAGUUGGUUUUCAUCACGUCUAUACUUACAGUAGUGGAAUGACUGCAAGAAGAGAACAAUUUGAGCAGAUCAGUAGAAACCAACACUUCUUGCGGCUAGCCAUCUCGGAACCGUGUCAUCAGCAAAUAUGUACAGCUGAUUUUCAUCACGUCUAUAUUUACAGUAGUGGAAUGACUGCAAGAAGAGAACAAUUUGAGCGGAUCAGUAGAAACCAACACUUCAUAAAAUAUGACAUCAAAGAAGACUAUUUUAUAAGAAUCCGAAUAAAUAUUCCUGUCAGAAAAUAUCUAACUUAACCAUAGUCUACAUUCUAUGGAUUCAAACGGCCAAUACAUUCACACUGUAGUAAAUUAGUAUAAUCAGAAGAAAGCAUCUAGGCAAUUAUGGACGUAAUUAUCAAGUUGGAUAACAACAUAUAAUCAUGCAACCGAGAUUCAUUGUGCUACUUCGGGACGGGGGAAAUAAAAAACCUUCAAAUAGUUAUUUUAUAUGGCAACUUUAAUUUGUAAUUAAAAAAACUUCAGUGACAGCAAAAGAAUAUUAGUUUCAGGCUAUCAGAAUCUAUGAGAUUAAUUAGUUUUAUGAGGUUAUAACAAUUUAAUGCACAGAAUGUUCUAAAACGAUAUACCAUUUCAAACUUCGUAACACUUCCUCCAACCAUUUCUAUUGCCUCAAUUUCGACUGGUACUCAUGCAAAAAACUUUCACAGACAAAAAAAUCACAAUAGCUCAUUUCUCAAUGGCUAGUCACUAGAGUUUUUUUAUUCCAAACCCCAGUUAUUAGAUUCAAAUUAUGUUUUUAGACUAGAAUGCAGAACAAACCUUCUAUAUCACAAAUUUACAUCGAACAAAUAUUAUCCAAAGAGAAUGUAUUACUUCAAUACUUUUAUGUUUAACACAUAAUAUUUUAUAAUUAUCAUACCUCUUGCAUGUCACCCACAUAAAUCCGAUCACGAUAGGUAUGGAUAGAUGUGAUUGAAUUGGGGAAAAGCUUGUUCUCACAUUUUCUGAGCAAUCUUUUUUUCCCCAAAUCAUACAACCUAAGGACAGACCCCACACCAGCUAGUAGUCUUCCUUGGAACUGACAUAAUGCAAGAGGCACACCAUCUACCUGUGUCUUGUGCAAAAGCUCGAGGACCUUCCCAUCUUCUUUAAAUUUGUAUAUAUGAAUGUAUGCUGCUUCAAACGAUUUUUUGGGCCAAAACUGAAGGCCCUUGGCAGUACCAACAGCUAACAGAGCUCCAUGCUCCUUGUCAUGGAAAUUAACAGUGCAUAUGCUGAACGCAGCCUCAUUAUCCUGAAGCUCUAGCAGACAAGUGGUUUGUGUUGACCUUGGGUCAAGGACUCUGAUACAGGAAACCCACCUUCCUGACUCCGACUUGGGAUAACCAUAUUGUUCAUCAGAUAGUGGAUCAUUACCAUCCUCAUCUUCACCAUUCUCCACUUGUUCCGCAUUUCCAUUUUCACCAUUCCCAGCUGUCUCAAAGCACUCCUUUUUGGCAGCUUCACGCUCUUCUGCAGUAUAUGCUCCCUGGUCACUCUCUAUCAUUAUCACCAUCUUCCGUUUAGGUUGAAGAACGAACCUUCUUGGUGUAUACCUUAAAGGUAUAGCUGUUUCGUUGAAAGUUUCGCCCAAUCUCUCUAUCGUGAAGACCCUCAACGCAUCCCCAGCAACCGCUACUACACCUUCUGCACAUUGAUCCGAUGAAAAUGAGGCUGCAAAUUCAAGAGUCUCAUAUGAUAAAGGCGUCAAAAGAAAAUGCCCUUGGUGUAUAUAACCUAGCCACGGUCUACUUGACAAGCAAAGCAUAGCACGCCGUCCUCUCACAACAAUGGAAAAGAGCUUAGGGGCUCUAAGCCCCAAGAAACGUGAACGUGCAUCUGAAAGCUGCCCAGUUAUCAUAUCCACCACAGUCCUGAAUAAAACCCCAUUUUGUAAACCAGCAUUAAGAAAAAGGCUGGCAGGGUGAUCUGCACCAUCUUCUCCACCAAUAGAGGCCUGAACUUCAAGAAAAAGGAGAGACUCUGGCGGUGAAGAUACACUUUGCAGGCUCAGAACCUGCAUACAGUCAUCAGGAUCCAAUGACAAUAUACGAAUAGUGUUAUCAUAUGAUCCAACUGCAAGGAAACGGGACCUUUGUCUUCCCUCAGGAACAGGGGCAAUGUCCAGACAAGCUACAUCACCUGACAUCUCAUGCUUCUCGACUUCCAUCAGCUGGCCAGUCAUAUCCACUUCAAAAUAUAUAAGCUCCCCUCCACUUAGUGCAAUUACCACUUGAAGCCUAUUAGAUCCAACCUUGACAAUAAUUCUCUUUCCAGGAGUUCUCCAUUCAUUAAUACGGCCAUCUUCUCUAAUAUGCCUUAUUCCACUGGGAUGAACUUGCAUCAAUGAAUCAUCACCAAUCAAUGAAACAGCAAGAGAUGGAGUAGUAUCAAGAAACCCACUGUCGCUAACUUCUUCCACUGUCUCACCAAUAGAAAGCACAAGAGUUGCAUUCGCAAAAGAUACAACAAUGUAUGCAUCAAACUCAUCAUUGACAUUCUUUUUUACAGUCCAGACAGCACUAGGAACACCAGGAAGCUGUGACACAGCCAUUUCACUAACAGCUAAACCUGGCCUAAGUAUGCGCAACGAAGACCGGGGACCCCUCCCACAAAGUGAAAAUAUUUGUGGAGUUUCUUCCUCAAAAAGAUUUACUAUUUUCAUGUCCAUGAUUGGCAUCAAACUCUCAAUCUGAUCGAUCCUAACAAGAUUUUUUAGCUUUCUUGGCUGGAAAAAUACAGGCUGAAAACCUUCUUCAGUUUCCAUUAACGUCGAUGAUGAAGCUUCGACAUCAGGAUCAUCUCCUAUCGCCUGAAACUGAUACAAUGCAUGAUUCCCAAACUCUGACGCAGCAAAGAGGAACCCUGACUUCAAGACACACAGCGAAGAACUGACUGGAAUUGUAUCAAAAUAUUUGAUCUUUAACUCCUUAACUCUGUCAUUGUCGUGAUCCAAUGUCACCUUAAAGAUAUCUCCAUAUUCAGUUUGCAAAAGAAAGAAAAACAUUGACUUCUGCUUAUGCAUAGCAGCUGAAACAAUCAAAACCCCACGUUCCGCUGGCAAAUCCACCCUCCUGGGAAUAACAGCCCUAACAUCAGGGUGUCCCUGAUUCUUAUAUAUCACGAAAUUCUCCGCGCAAACAAGCACACCACUAGGACCAUCCCCACCACCAGGUACAGUAACGAGCAAAUUAGCACCAUUAUCAACCUGUUCACUCCACUUCCUCGACACGUGAUUAAGCCCUAAAUCUAAUUCAUAAAAUGUCAAAUGCUUCUGAGCCUCAUUUGCAGCCUGGCCAGUAGGAUCCUGAUCCGCCUCCGCGUAAUCCAACUCGAUCGCAGCAAAUAUGGGGUUAUCAAAUCCACAAUCAACACCACAAAUCGAGAACGUAAUAGUGUGGCUCUUAUGAGCUUCUAAAGGUGACGAAAUGGUUAACCUAGCAGCAGUAUCCCUAUUCAAAACAUACACAAGCUUCUGUUUCUCACAAGCACCAAUCAUAACAGCCCUACCUUUCGGGUCAAUACCCACAUACUGACCCGGAACUAUCCGUCUACAACCCGAUUUCCCAAAAGUCUCCUGAUGAACUUUAUCAAAAACAUUCUUCUCUUUAUUAUACUCUAAUAUCACUAUCCGACCCGAAUCCGACCCGACUACAAUAUAAUCUUUUUGUGCACCGGUUAAUCGAAAUUGAGCUAAGGAGCGUAUAGCGCCGAAGAUUUCGACGGAUAAUAAGGUUUGGAGCUUACCGUUAUCGUCGGGGCGGAGGAGGUCGAGGACUUUGCCCCGGGCGACGGCGAUUUCUUGUACUUUGCCACCGGAAAAGCUUCCGUUGAUGGCGCAGAGUAUGCCGGUGGGUUUUUGGAGUGUGAGACUGUAGAGAUACAUUUUGGGAGUAGCAGUUGGUGUACUGCUAAAACCCUAGUUUAAAAGUGAGAGUAGAAGUGAAGUGGAGUGAGGUUUAGGGUUUUGAGAGGAAGAAGAAAGAAGUUAGAUUCAGAAAUGAAAUUUGGGUUUAAACCCUAGACGAGAGUAUAGUGAAAGAUGGAGCUACAGUUUAUUUUCGGACCGGUCGUUCCGUAGAGGCGGUUCGUGCAACAACAACAACAAUAGUCCCACAAGGUGAAGAAAUGAUUUUCACAGUUUUAUUUAAUUAUUUAUUUUGAUUUCUCCCAUUUUCCUUUUUUCUGUUCAUAAUUCACCUUUGCUCUUUUUUUUUUCUUCCCAUAGUUUAUUUCUUUUCUUUUAAAAGAAAUAAUUUUUUUAUAUGGCUUCCUAAGGUCCAUUACAACAUUUUAUGCUAAAGCAUUUUAAUUUUUUUUUUUAAUGUUAGUAGGUAAGCAACCCCAAUUCCAACCGAGAGUUUGUGAGUUCGAGUCUCCCCAAAAGCAAGGUGGGAAGUUCUUGGAGGGAAGUAUGUCGGGGGUUUCUAUUUGGAAACAGCCUCUCUACCCCUGGGUAGAGGUAAGGUCCGCGUACAUAUUACCCUUCUCAGACCCCACUAAGUGAGAUUAUAUUGGAUUGUUAUUGUUUGUUAAUGUUAGUAGGAAUGGUAAGGGAAUAUCACAUGGGUGGAUUCGUACCCUCACCAUAUGAUAGAAGGACGAGGGGCACACACUAUGUCAAUUACCUUCCAAUUAUGUCGCAACUUUAAAUCUUAUGGUCACACACUAUGUCAAUUACCCUCUAAUUUUGUCGCAAGUUUAAAUCUUAGUUGUUAGUCUUGUCACAAUGAUAUUCUAAUCAUUAAAAAAUCAUAAUUUGAAUGACAGAAUCACAAGUUUAAAUAGUUAUUUUCGAUAAUCAUUUUGUACUUUCAGUAAACUAAGCGAAACAAACAAAGUAACGAAGAAGUUUGAUGAAUUGAUUGAUACAAUAACAUUUGAAGUGUAUGAUCUUUCGUCAAAGGAAGAAGGAAAGUCUAGAUUUGAAGCUUGUGGAUUCUAACUUAAUUAUCGAACAUGCUGUCCAUUUUAGUUAUUGGUUUCAUAGUUAAAAUUUUAAAUAUAAUUUUAAAAAUAUUAAUAUAAAAUAGAAUUUAAGUAAAAGCUAUUAGAUUUUUUUGAAUCCGUACCUCAAACUCUAACUCCGCCUUAAUCAAAUGCAACAGUUGGUGAAUUUCAACUAUGCAAUUAAUUUUUUUUUAUGUUAGUAUUAUUUUAAUGUGCUAUUAUUCAUACAAAUAGUAGUCAAUUAUUCUCUGUUUCUUUUUCUUUUGCACAUCGUCAGGCCAGGUUUGAGGGGCCAUACCUUUGACAUUAACAAAGUACAAAGAUUGUGUGGAUUUGUAAAGUGCAAAUGUAAACCACUACAUUAAACGAUUAACCUCUCAACCUCAUACCAAAAUAAUACAGGACUUUUUCCCAUUUUUAGUCCAUUUUUAACUUAGUUCUCAAGGAAACUACAAUGCAACAACAACAACAACUAUCCAAUAUAGUCCCAUAAAGUGGGUAAGGAAACUACAAUAUAGAAAGAAGAAAAAAACAGCUAUGCAAUCUGUGGAAUUACUAGAGCGAGAAAAUUUAUUCACAUCCGGUAUUUAUAUUAAAUUAAUUAUUAUAUAAAAAAAGGGCAGUCUGAUGUACCAAGCUUCUGUUAUGCGUGAGAUCCGGAAAAGGGCCAGACCACAAGAGUUAUUGUAUGCAGUCUAACCCUGCAUUUCUAAAAGAGGAUGUUUCUGACAACAACUUUACCAAUUACGCCAAGACUCCCUUUCAAACUAACGAUUAUAUGCUUAAUGAUAAUAAACUAAUAUGGUUUGAUAUAAGCACAAGCUGUAAACAAUAUUUUCCCAGACUUCUUCACUACCAUUAUGAUAAUGUACUAUUACUGCCUAAAUGAUCAACUAAACACAUUACAGAGUAGGUUCAACAAAACUAAUGCCUUAAACUUUUUCUAUGGAUUUUGUUAUUGCAACUAAACAUUUUACCUAAACCAUUUCAUCUGCUCCACUUAAUAGGAAGCUUGUAACUAAACUAUUUAUACUCAGUUAGCCUACACUCAUUCAUCACCAACAAGCAUCUGCUCAAUUCUUCAUUUGCCUCUUCUCAUCAAUCAUCAUAUAGCAACAUUCACAAGCAAAAAAUGGUCAAAUUUUCCCAACUCUGCUCUAAAACAUUCCAAUUCACCUUUUGCAUUUUGCUAUUAACCCUAUCAUUUGACAUCGCUACUCCAGCGAGAAUCCUCGAUGAGGUGAGCUCAGAUGAACCUGUUGUUGCUCCUGUGGUGGCCCCGGCCACCACAUUGCCAAGUGGCCACUUUCCAGCCACAGUUACCGCUCCUGAUUCGAACUCGGAACCUAUAGAGGGUGAUGAUUCUUCUAUUCCUGCAAACACUGUGGCUCCUUCAGCUGAUUUUCCAACCGAACCCGAGCCUGAUACAGCUCCUGUCGUUUCCCCAUCUGCUCCAGUGACUCAUGCUGCUGAUGCAACAACAAACACUGGAGCAACACAUGUUACCAAUGAGGCACCAGAAGCCGCUGGUACGUCUGGUGCCACAGUGGCAAAUCCUAUUCCAGAGGGCCACUCAACGUUCUCAUUCUUCAUGCAUGACAUACUUGGCGGUACACACCCGUCAGGAAGAGUGGUCACUGGAAUUGUAGCCAACACGGAUGCCAACAAUUUACCUUUCUCAAAAGAAAACAACCAAGUCUUCCCAAUCGACGGUGGUGUUCCCCUCAACAACAUCAACAACAUUGUCAACAACAACAAUUAUCCUUUCCUAGUAGGCCUCAACGGACAACAACAAUCCAACACUGUCCUACAAAACACAGGCAACAACAACAUUGUCGACAGCGGGGACAACCAACCUUUUGUCACAGCCGGGCAACUCCCUACUGGCCUAUCCCUUCAACAACUCAUGUUCGGAUCAAUUACUGUUGUAGACAAUGAAAUAACAGAAGGACAUGAAUUGGGAUCAGCUAUUCUUGGUAGAGCACAAGGAUUUUACUUGACGAGUUCUUCGGAUGGGACGAGUCAUACUUUAGCUUUAACAACAUUGUUCCAUGGGCAGCAUGAACAUGAAGUGGAUGAUACUAUUAGUUUCUUUGGUAUUCACAGGACCGCGACGCCAAUUUCUCACAUUGCUAUUAUUGGAGGUACUGGAAAAUAUGAGAAUGCUAAAGGGUAUGCUACAAUUGAAACUCUGCCUCAUGUGGAUCAACAUACAACUGAUGGUGUUGAAACUAUUACACACUUCACUGUGUACAUUACCCCUUAAAAAAGUGUUUGUUCUAAGAGAAGGGGCUUAUUUAUUAUGUUUGGUUUUCUGUAUUUCUGAUUCUUCACACUUCGGUUUGAUGAACUUUUCAUGUAAUUGUAUGGUUAAUUCUGAUUAAUGUUAUGAUAUAUAUUAAAGCUUUUAAUUUACUUGGUCCAAAAGAAGAGGAACUUCGGGCGUAAAUGGUAAAAUUAUUGUCAUGUAACCAGGAGGUCACGGGUUCAAAUAGCAAAACCAACCUCUUCUAGAAAUCUAGACCCUUGUGGUCUGAUUCUUCCUCUGAUCUCGUCCAUCGUAGUGUACCGGGCUGCAUUUUUUUUAAUCUACAAUUGUCGAAUUUGUGAUUUGGCUGUCAAUAAUUGCUUACCUACAAGUUUAGAAUAUAAGAAAGUGUUCAGUGUUAAAGAAUAGCGAAAGGUAAUGACUAAUUUUUAGUUAAGAAAUUGAUAUGAUUUCUAAUUUUACAAGGAUCUUACGAAAAUGUGAUAACAGAUUUAAGAGUUUUUGUUACUUGGGUUUUGCAUAAUAUUCGUACAUUAUAAAUCAUAAUAUAACAACUAAAAUUAGGAAUAAUAUGUUAGCAAUAUAUACUAUUAAUCAUGAGUUUGAUUUAGAUAUACUCCCUCCGGUCCAAAAUAAGUGAGUUUUUGGCCCUUUUUUGUGGUCCAAAAUAAGUGAUUUUUCCAGAUUUCAAGAAUGAAAGUUCUUCCUUGAUCCCGUCCAUAAUGAAAGCUUAGUGUAUCCGGCUGCAUUUUUUUUAAUCUACAAUUGUCGAAUUUGUGAUUUGGCUGUCAAUAAUUGCUUACCUACAAGUUUAAAAUAUAAGAAAGUGUUCAGUAUUAAAGAAUAGCGAAAGGUAAUGACUAAUUUUUAGUUAAGUAAUUGAUAUGAUUGCUAAUUUUACAAGGAUCUUACGAAAUUGUGAUAACAGAUUUAAAAGUUUUUGUUACUUUGGGUUUUGCAUAAUAUUCGUACAUUAUAAAUCAUAAUAUAACAACUAAAUUAGGAAUAAUAUGUUAGGGAUAUAUACUAUUAAUCAUGAGUUUGGCUUAGAUAUACUCCCUCCGGUCCAAAAUAAGUGAGUUUUUGGUCCCUUUUUGUGGUCUAAAAUAAGUGAUUUUUCCAGAUUUCAAGAAUGAAUUAAUUAUUUUUUUCCUACGUUAUCCUUGGAAUAAAUAGUGUUGGAAUAUGUGUUAGGAGUGUUUAUAUGAGAUAGUAAAGGUUAAUAUAGUCAAUUUUAUUGCUAAUUAAUGCUACAAGGUGGAUUCUUAAUAUAUGUGAAAAUAUCCAAAAAAUCACUUAUUUUGGAACGGAGGGAGUAGUAUUUAAUAUGAAGCAAUUGUUUAUCUAGUUUUAAUAAAGUUUUAAAUAAAUCAUAUAUUAGUCUAUGUCCUUUGCUAUAUAGUAGAUGAUUUAGUAUAUACACAGAAAGAUUAAAUCAUCGGUUCUUAUAAGUAUAAAGUUUGACACAAUCUAAUGAUAGAAUUGGACAAACCAUCAGGAAUGAUUGUAGCAUAAGAUGAAAUAUAAUUUAUUUUGAUUAUGAGAAUGGUUUAAUUCCAACUUCUUGUGCUAGUAUAUUUUGUAUGUAUUGAAUAGACCAAGUAGAGAUAAGUAUUUUAUACUGACUUAAUAAAAUAAACUCUCUAGCCAUUAAAUGUNNNNNNNNNNNNNNNNNNNNNNNNNNNNNNNNNNNNNNNNNNNNNNNNNNNNNNNNUAAUAAAAUAAACUCUCUAGCCAUUAAAUGUACUUAUACUCUUAAUCUUGAUAUAAUUAUUAUUAGCUGUGUAUAUUAUUAUUAUUUUAAUUUAUUAAAAUACGAGAUUCUUUCGUGGGUCAAUAUGCCUGGUAAAUUGGAUAAUAAUAAUGUACAUUGGCGAAAUAAUAGUUAGAUGAUGGAAUCCAUAUCUCGGUUUAGAGAUUGAUGAUACACCUUUAUGAAAGCUUAUAAGUUUUCAUGUGUAAACCUGGUAGAUGGAUUUUGUAUCUGAUACAUGAAAUAAGUUAAGUGAAAGUCUAAAGGAAAUAAUUAAUAAAUUAAAUCGUCAAUAAUUUAAUUUAAUUGAUUAGUAGCUGAAUCUUAAUAUGGGGAUUUAAAUAAGAUUUAAUGGAUGAAUAUAAAAUUGAAUAAGGAGUGCAAUUACAAAUUCUAAGUGGAAUAAUUCGUAAUCAAUUAUGGUGGAUAUUAAUUUUGAAAUUACAAAUUAAUUCCAUAAUUGGAAGCCUUGUUAAUUAAAUUAUGUGGUCCUACUGUGCCUAGAUAAUAAGAAAUAAAGGAAUCAUUUUUCUGGUGGAAAAGAAAACCCAACAGGUUUUGGAAAAUGGUUUUAACCCUUAAAACUUGUGCUAUAAAUACAUAAGGUUUUCCACCUAGAGAGAUGAGCACAUGGUGGCCGAAUUUCAGCCUUUUUCCUUUGAAAAUUUUGCCCACAUGAAAUUGUUAUUUUCAGGUAUUAUUUGGGUAACACAGUAGAAGACCGUGGAACGUUCGAAGACUGUGAUCGUGCGGGUGGUGAAGAAUUUAUUGAGUUGAUGUGGAAUUGAAAGCUCACGUGAUAAAGGAGCUUUGUUCACGCUUUAAGAAGUAACCCGUGAAAUCCUGUUUAUGGUAGUUGUUUAGAUUACAUGUGAUUUUAAUACUAGGAUUGCUUUCACUGCUUAUUAUAAUUCAUCAAUUGGUAUAAGAGCUCACUCACAUCUAAUUAAAUAACUAAGUUGUUUUAUGAAACAAGAAUAUCGUGUUUAUGUGCGUUUUUAAUUACAUAUAUAUGUGGUUUUUUGAAAACUACACUACUGUUUUGUGAAUUAAAUUUGUAAAAAAUUUAGAUUAUUCUUGUAGUAAUGAGAUAUCUGUUUUCUAUUGAUAUUUGAUUAGGAUAAUUUGGAUAUUUUUUUGCAAAACCUUAGAAAAACACAAAACUUGAUUUUGAUCGAAUUGCCGGUAAUUUUGGAGGUUAGCGAACAUGACGAACUCCGAUUGAGCUGAAAUUUUGUAAGUACAUCGGAGGCGACGUGGUGAGAAAAACUAAUUGCUUUAGCAGGGAAUCAUGGCGCGUUUUAAUAUCAUUUGUACUGUAUUUUGGACGUUUUUCUAUUUUCAAAAAAUUAUUUCUUAAUAAUUUUAGUUUGGUUUUAAUUCAAUGAUGAUGGGGAAAACUCCCCUGGUCUCCAUGAUUAAAUGCUAAUUAUUUACACAUUGGCUAUUAGUAAAUAUACGUAUUGUUGUAUUAAAUUCAAUAAUAGAGGUGUAGGGUUUUAUUGACUAGGUCUUACAAGGUAUAUUGAUAUUGUGUGAUGAUAUAAUUAUUUUUUAAGAAAGUAAAAUCCUCUAUAUCCUAGAUGACUAAAAAUUGGAGCGUUUGGCAUUCUGUGCAUAAAAAAUUCUCAAAUUUUAGUUUAUGUUUUCAUGCCCUACGUGAUUACUAGUCUUGGAUUUUUGAUGAAAAAUUUGUUCUCUGGUUGGAGGCUGUAAUUAAGUGAAAUAUGAUAAUAUUUUUUAUAAGUUUAUAUUAUUGGCAUGUCUUUUAAGCCGUGGUCCAUAAUCUGUAAUAAAAUAAUUAUAUGAGCUACAUGUGUCUUCACUUGUAAAUUGAGAAUUUUGUGAGUAAUAAAUAGUUGCCACUAAAGUGAUUUGUUUAUUUGGACUCAUGAAUAUUUUUUAAUAAAUUUGUACAUGUGAAAUUGUGUCUAUUCAUGGAUUGAGCAUUAUGAUCAAUAAGUAGGAUCUACAAAAUGGUCUAUUUAUUUGAGUCAUUGAAAUCUGCUUAAUGUACCAUGUGAAAAUUAUCCUUGAUAAAUCUACAUUAGUGGUGGAGGUUCUUAACUAUAAAAAGGAGUUUUAACUUUGGGUACUAGUGAGACCACCUCCACCCAUGAGAAGAGAUAUUAAGUUUUUUCCCGAACGAUACAAAACAUAAUAUCUUAGGUUCUUGUAUAUUUUAUAAAAGGAUAAUUUAUUGAAAAAAGUGAUAUUAUGUAUCAUAGAAAUAGGAAGACCAUAAUAUAUGGCUUGAGCUCAUAGUAUAAUUAUAAGGAAAAUGAAAAUCAAUAUCAUAUUUAUUUUAAUUCAUGAAAUUACUUAAAACGGUUAUUUUUCUGACUUUGGUUACAGGCUGAUGGUCAUGAAUUUGACGGACUCCGAUUGACCUGAAACUUGGUAGGUUCAUCAAAAAUGAUCCAUUGAGAAAAACUUACGGCUAUGCAGUAAAUCAUGUUGUUUUCGGUAUUUUGAGAUCGUUUAGAUGAAUUUUCAAGCAGUUUAUUAAAUAGAAUUUAUUAUAAAUAUGAAAAAUUAUUCUUUAUAUAUCGGUUAUAUUUGUGUUAAAUCUGAAACAUGAUGAUUUAACUUAAUAUGUUGUCGUGCGCCCUUUUUCCUUCACAGGGAGAAGUCCGGGUUUCGACAUUCACGGGGUAUAAUGACUCAUUUCCUUUUAAGAAUUCGGUAUUUCAAGAGUCGCCACCUAACGAAUCAAGGUGCAUCGGGGAACCUAGAGUAAUUAACUCUUGGGUUGGUUUGCAUUAUUAGAGAUUAGGGUAAGGCUCGAAGUAACCUCAAGGGGAAGGUGUUAGGAACCCCUCUUGGUCCACAACUGUGGGUCCCGACCAAACUUAUAUUUACAAAUUUGUCCAUACAAAUAGUUGAAUCAAAUAGGUUGUUUGCAAAGCACAUUGAGCAAUUUAUGUAGUGAAAUAAAGACUUGAACAAAUUAUAUAAAAAAAGUUUAAAUAAGGAGAGGAUUUGGGAUAAGGAGAGGUCCUAGGUUAUUUAUCCUAUAGGAUCGCCCCACGCAAUGUCCAGUGAACACUCCUCAAUGAGGGGCUACAUGUGACAUUAACGCGUCGUUAUUAAAUUCCAUGUCUAUCCUUCACAUCCCCUUAUUGGUUAUGCAAAGCGAGUGUUUGGUCUCUGAUUCCUAUUUCGUGUUGCUACUCAUCCCCUUUAAUAGUCCCGGAGAGUGUCAGGACCUCUUAUUAUGGGUAGUACUAGACGUACCCCUAAGGUUUAUAAAGGUAAAAACUCUAAGGCGACAGUUAAAAUAUUUAGGACUUUCACAUAAUGGGAGCAAUUAAGAGGCUCACAGUUUCCUCCUAAAACAUACAUACAAGCAGCAUGUCUCAAGCACAAUUAAGGUCUUUAUUAAUUAAAGUCCUAAAGCAGGAUUCUCUAUGUGAAUAUGCAGGAGCAGACCAAACUUUAUACCUAGAAGUUAUAACUUAGCAUUUGCCUAAGGACUUCUUUUAAAAGCUAUGAGGAUUAGAAACGUUAAACAUCAGAAACAACUUCAAAGAAUGCAGAUUUUGGGAAUGUCCUAAGACUUGCCUAUAUGUAGUAUAUUGUGUUUUUGUUAAUGCAGAAGCAAACAGGUUCUCAAAAUAGACCUUUUAAUACAUAUAUGCAGGAUGUCUAAUGAGAUUAAAGCAAUUUUGAAAUAACUGAUUUCAGGAAAUAUUGACACUUAAUAAGACUAGUUUAAGAAGUAAACUAGGCGAAAUGAAAUUGAUUUAUUAGGCUAAUUAUAUUAUCAGACAUAACUGCGAAUGAAAAUUCCAAUAGGCAUGGCAUCUAGGCUCAUUACAAGUUUUAGUUAAUUUACGGUAACAUGAGGAAAGACUUAUUAGAACUAAAUCGGAAUCGAGUCCUAUAUGAAUGGUAUGUAUACUUGAAUUUGAUUUAAGACAUGAUGGUUUGGAACCUAUAAACAUGAUCUCUAACAUUGGAAGUGAAACCUUAUAGGCGUGAUUUCUAUUUGAUGCAAACGAAAUUAGAGGUGAAAUUCUAUGGACAUGAUUUCUAUUAUGCAAACAAUGAUUAUAUGCUUAAUCAUAAUAAACUAAUAUGGUUUGAUAUAAGCACAUGCUGUAAACAAUAUUUUCCCAGACUUCUUCACUACCAUUAUGAUAAUGUACUAUUACUGCCUAAAUGAUCAACUAAACACAUUACAGAGUAGGUUCAACAAAACUAAUGCCUUAAACUUUUUCUAUGGAUUUUGUUAUUGCAACUAAACAUUUUACCUAAACCAUUUCAUCUGCUCCACUUAAUAGGAAGCUUGUAACUAAACUAUUUAUACUCAGUUAGCCUACACUCAUUCAUCACCAACAAGCAUCUGCUCAAUUCUUCAUUUGCCUCUUCUCAUCAAUCAUCAUAUAGCAACAUUCACAAGCAAAAAAUGGUCAAAUUUUCCCAACUCUGCUCUAAAACAUUCCAAUUCACCUUUUGCAUUUUGCUAUUAACCCUAUCAUUUGACAUCGCUACUCCAGCGAGAAUCCUCGAUGAGGUGAGCUCAGAUGAACCUGUUGUUGCUCCUGUGGUGGCCCCGGCCACCACAUUGCCAAGUGGCCACUUUCCAGCCACAGUUACCGCUCCUGAUUCGAACUCGGAACCUAUAGAGGGUGAUGAUUCUUCUAUUCCUGCAAACACUGUGGCUCCUUCAGCUGAUUUUCCAACCGAACCCGAGCCUGAUACAGCUCCUGUCGUUUCCCCAUCUGCUCCAGUGACUCAUGCUGCUGAUGCAACAACAAACACUGGAGCAACACAUGUUACCAAUGAGGCACCAGAAGCCGCUGGUACGUCUGGUGCCACAGUGGCAAAUCCUAUUCCAGAGGGCCACUCAACGUUCUCAUUCUUCAUGCAUGACAUACUUGGCGGUACACACCCGUCAGGAAGAGUGGUCACUGGAAUUGUAGCCAACACGGAUGCCAACAAUUUACCUUUCUCAAAAGAAAACAACCAAGUCUUCCCAAUCGACGGUGGUGUUCCCCUCAACAACAUCAACAACAUUGUCAACAACAACAAUUAUCCUUUCCUAGUAGGCCUCAACGGACAACAACAAUCCAACACUGUCCUACAAAACACAGGCAACAACAACAUUGUCGACAGCGGGGACAACCAACCUUUUGUCACAGCCGGGCAACUCCCUACUGGCCUAUCCCUUCAACAACUCAUGUUCGGAUCAAUUACUGUUGUAGACAAUGAAAUAACAGAAGGACAUGAAUUGGGAUCAGCUAUUCUUGGUAGAGCACAAGGAUUUUACUUGACGAGUUCUUCGGAUGGGACGAGUCAUACUUUAGCUUUAACAACAUUGUUCCAUGGGCAGCAUGAACAUGAAGUGGAUGAUACUAUUAGUUUCUUUGGUAUUCACAGGACCGCGACGCCAAUUUCUCACAUUGCUAUUAUUGGAGGUACUGGAAAAUAUGAGAAUGCUAAAGGGUAUGCUACAAUUGAAACUCUGCCUCAUGUGGAUCAACAUACAACUGAUGGUGUUGAAACUAUUACACACUUCACUGUGUACAUUACCCCUUAAAAAAGUGUUUGUUCUAAGAGAAGGGGCUUAUUUAUUAUGUUUGGUUUUCUGUAUUUCUGAUUCUUCACACUUCGGUUUGAUGAACUUUUCAUGUAAUUGUAUGGUUAAUUCUGAUUAAUGUUAUGAUAUAUAUUAAAGCUUUUAAUUUACUUGGUCCAAAAGAAGAGGAACUUCGGGCGUAAAUGGUAAAAUUAUUGUCAUGUAACCAGGAGGUCACGGGUUCAAAUAGCAAAACCAACCUCUUCUAGAAAUCUAGACCCUUGUGGUCUGAUUCUUCCUCUGAUCUCGUCCAUCGUAGUGUACCGGGCUGCAUUUUUUUUAAUCUACAAUUGUCGAAUUUGUGAUUUGGCUGUCAAUAAUUGCUUACCUACAAGUUUAGAAUAUAAGAAAGUGUUCAGUGUUAAAGAAUAGCGAAAGGUAAUGGCUAAUUUUUAGUUAAGAAAUUGAUAUGAUUUCUAAUUUUACAAGGAUCUUACGAAAAUGUGAUAACAGAUUUAAGAGUUUUUGUUACUUGGGUUUUGCAUAAUAUUCGUACAUUAUAAAUCAUAAUAUAACAACUAAAAUUAGGAAUAAUAUGUUAGCAAUAUAUACUAUUAAUCAUGAGUUUGAUUUAGAUAUACUCCCUCCGGUCCAAAAUAAGUGAGUUUUUGGCCCUUUUUUGUGGUCCAAAAUAAGUGAUUUUUCCAGAUUUCAAGAAUGAAAUACUUAUUGUUUUUUCCUACAUUAUCCUUGGAAUAAAUGUGUUGGAAUAUAUAUUAGGAGUGUUUAUGUGAGAUAGUAAAGGUUAAUAUAGUCAAUUUCAUUGCUAAUUAAUGCUACAAGGUGGAUUUCUUAAUAUAUGUGAAAAUAUCCAAAAAAUCACUUAUUUUGGAACGGAGGGAGUAAUAUUUAAUAUGAAGCAAUUGUUUAUCUAGUUUUAAUAAAGUUUUAAAUAAAUCAUAUAUUAGUCUAUGUCCUUUGCUUAUAUAAUAGAUGAUUUAGUGUAUAGAGUUUAGUGUAUACACAGAAAGAUUAAAUCAUCGGUUCUUAUAAGUAUAAAGUUUGAGUUCACAAUCUAAUGAUGGAAUUGAACAAACCAUCAGGAAUGAUUGUAGCAUAAGAUUAAAUAUAAUUUAUUUUGAUUAUGAGAUUGGUUUAAUUCCAACUUCUUGUGCUAGUAUAUUUUGUAUGUAUUGAAUAGACCCAGUAGAGAUAAGUAUUUUAUACUGACUUAAUAAAAUAAACUCUCUAUCCAUUAAAUGUACUUAUNNNNNNNNNNNNNNNNNNNNNNNNNNNNNNNNNNNNNNNNNNNNNNNNNNNNNNNNNNNNNNNNNNNNNNNNNNNNNNNNNNNNNNNNNNNNNNNNNNNNNNNNNNNNNNNNNNNNNNNNNNNNNNNNNNNUCAUGGAUUGAGCAUUAUGAUUAAUAUUGGAUAAUAAUAAUGUACAUUGGCGGAGUAAUAGUUAUUUGAUGGAAUCCAUGUCUCGGUUUAGAGAUUGAUGAUACACCUUUAUGAAAGCUUAUAAGUUUUCAUGUGUAAACUCGGCCGAUGGAUUUUGUAUCUGAUACAUGAAAUAAGUUAAGCGAAAGUCUAAAGGAAAUAAUCAAUAAAUUAAAUCGUCAAUAAUUUAAUUUCAUUGAUUAGUAUCUGAAUCUUAAUAUGGGGAGUUAAAUAAGAUUUAAUGGAUGAAUUUAAAAAAUGAAUAAGGAGUGCAAUUAAACAAAUUCUAAGUAGAAUAAUUCGUAAUUAAUUAUGGUGAAUAUUAGUUUUGAAAAUUACAAAUUAAUUCCAUAAUUGAAAGCUUGUUUAUUAAAUUAUGUGGUUGUACCGUGCCUAGAUAAUAAGAAAUAAAGGAAUCAUUUUUUUUGUGGAAAAGAAACCCAACAAGUUUUGGAAAAGGGUUUUAACUCUUAAAACUUGUGCUAUAAAUACAUAAGGUUUUCCACACAGAGGGAUGAGCACAUGGUGGCCGAAUUUCAGCCUUUUUUCCUUAGAAAAUUUUGCCCACAUGAAAUUGCUAUUUUCAGGUAUUAUUUGGGUAACACAGUAGAAGACCGUAGACGUUCGAAGACUGUGAUCGUGCGGGCGGUGAAGAAUUUAUUGAGUUGAUGUGGAAUUGAAAGCUCACGUGAUAAAAGAGCUUUGUUCACGCUUCAAGAAGUAACCCGUGAAAACCCGUUUAUGGCAGUUGUCUAGAUUACAUGUGAUUUUAAUACUAGGAUUCCUUUCGUUGCUUAUUAUAAUUCAUAGUUGGUAUCAGAGCCCACUCACGUCUAAUUAAAUAACUAAGUUUUUUAUGAAACAAGAAUAUCGUGUUUAUGUGCGUUUUUUAAUUACAUAUAUAUGUGGUUUUUUGAAAACUACACUACUGUUGAAUUAACUUUGUAAAAAAUUUAGAUUAUUCUUGUAGUAAUGAGAUAUCUGUUUUUAUUGAUAUUUGAUUAGGAUAAAUUUGGAUAUUUUUUUGGUAAACCCUAGAAAAACGCAAAGCCUGAUUUUGAUUGAAUUGCCGGUGUUUUUGGAGGUUAGUGAACUUGACGAACUCCGAUUGAGCUGAAAUUUUGUAUGUCCAUUGAAGGCGACGUGGUGAGAAAAACUAAUUGCUUUAGCAGUGAAUCAUGGUGCGUUUUAAUAUCAUUUGUACUGUAUUUUGGACGUUUUUCUAUUUUCAGAAAAUUAUUUCUUGAUAAUUUUAGUAUGGUUUUAAUUCAAUGAUGAUGGGGGAAAAUCCCCUGGUCUCCAUGAUUAAAUGCUAAUUAUUUACCCAUUGGCUAUUAGUAAAUAUACGUAUUGUUGUAUUAAAUUCAAUAGUAGAAGUGUAAGGUUUUAUUGGCUAGGUCUUACAAGGUAUAUUGAUAUUAUGUGAUGAUAUAAUUAUUUUUUAAGAGAGUAAAAUCCUCUGUUUGAUAUCGUAGAUGACUAAAAAUUGGAGCGUUUGGCAUUCUGUGCAUAAACAAUUUAUCAAAUUUUAGUUUAUGUUUUCAUGCCCUACGUGAUUACUAGUCUUUGAUUAUUGGCAUGGCUUUUAAGUCGUGGUCCAUAAUCUGUAAUAAAAUAAUUAUAUGAGCUACAUGUGUCUUCACUCGUAAAUUGAGAAUUUUGUGAGUAAUAAAUAGUUACCACUAAAGUGGUUUGUUUAUUUGAACUCAUGAAAUUUUUUAAAUAAUUUUGUACAUGUGAAAUUAUGUCUAUUCAUGGAUUGAGCAUUAUGAUUAAUAAGCAGGAUCUACAAAAUGGUCUAUUUAUUUGGGUCAUUAAAAUCUGCUUAAUGUACCAUGCGAAAAUUAUCCUUGAUAAAUCUACAUUAGCGGUGGAGGUUCUUAACUAUAAAAAAGAGUUCUAAUUUUUGGUACUAGUGAGACCACCUCCACCCAUGAGAAGAGAUAUUAAGUUUUUUCCCGAACGGUAGAAAACGUAAUAUCUUAGGUUCUUGUAUAUUUAGUAAAAGGAUAAUUUAUUGCAAAAAGUGAUAUUAUGUAUCAUAGAAAUAGAAAGACCACAAUAUAUGGCUUGAGCUCAUAGUAUAAUUAUAAGGAGAAUGAAAAUCAAUAUCAUAUUUAUUUUAAUUCAUGAAAUUACUUUAAACGGUUAUUUUUCUGAGUAACCACAGGCUGGUGGUCAAGAAUUUGACGGACUCCGAGUAACCUGAAACUUGGUAGGUUCAUCGAAAACGAUCUAGUGAGAACAAAUUACUGCUAUGCAGUAUAUCAUGUUGUUUUUCGGUAUUUUGAGAUCGUUUAGAUGAAUUUUCAAGCAGUUUAUUAAAUUGAAUUUGUUAUAAAUAUGAAAAAUUAUUCUUUAUAUAUCGGCUAUAUUUGUGUUAACUAAAAAACAUGAUGAUUUAACUUAAUAUGUGUCGUGCGCCCUUUUUCCUUCGCAGGGAGAAGUCCGGGUUUCGACAUUCACGGGGCAUAAUGACUCAUUUCCUUUUAAGAAUUGGGUAUUUGAAGAGUGGCCACCUAACAAAUUAAGGUGCAUCGGGGAACCUAGAGUAAUUAACUCAUGGAUUGGUUUGCAUUACUAGGGAUUAGGGUAAGGGCUCGAAGUAACCUCGAGGGGAAGGUGUUAGGCACCCCUCUUGGUCCACAACCAAACUUAUAUUCACAAAUCCAUACAAAUAGUUGAAUCAAAUAGGUUGUUUGUAAAGCACAUUGAGCAAUUUAUGUAGUGAAAUAAAGGUUUGAAGAAAUUAUAUAAAAAAAAGUUUAAAUAAGGAGAGGAUUUGGGAUAAGUAGAGGUCCUAGGUUAUUUAUCCUAUAGGAUCGCCCCACGCAAUUUCCAGUGAACACUCCUCAAUGAGGGGCUACACGUGACAUUAACGCGUAGUUAUCAUAUUCCAUGUCUAUCCUUCACAUCCCUUAUUGGUCAUGAAAAGCGAGUGUUUGGUCUCUGAUUCCUAUUGCGUGUUGCUACUCAUCCCCUUUAAUAGUCCCGGAGGGUGUCAGGACCUCUUCUUAUGGGUAAUUCUAGACGUACCCCUAAGGUUUAGAAAGGUAAAAACUCUAAGGCGACAGUCAAAAUAUUUGGGACUUUCACAUAAUUGGAGCAAUUAAGAGGCUCAUAGUUUCCUCCUCAAACAUACAUGCAAGCAGCACGUCUCAAGCACAAUUAAAGUCUUUAUUAAUUAAAGUCCUAAAUCAGGAUUCUAUAUGUGAAUUUGCAGGAGCAUACCAAACUUUAUACCUAGAAGUUAUAACUUAGCAUUUGCCUAAGGACUUCUUUUAAAAGCUAGGAGGAUUAGAAACGUUAAACGUCAGAAACAACUUCAGAGAAUGCAGAUUUUGAGAAUGCCCUAAGACUUGCCUAUAUGCAGUAUAUUGUGUUUAUGUUAAUGCAGAAGCAAACAUGUUCUCAAAAUAGACCGUUUAACACAUAUAGGCAGGAUAUCUAAUGAGAUUAAAACAAUUUUGAAAUAACAGAUUUCAGGAAAUGUUGACACUUAAUAAGACUAGUUUUAAGAAGUAAACUAGGCGAAAUGAUAUUGAUUUAUUAGGCUAAUUAUAUUAUCAGACAUAAUUGCAAAUGAAAAUUCCUAUAGGCAUGGAAUCUAGGCUUAUUACAAGUUUUAGUUAAUUUAUAGUAACAUGAGGAAAGACUUAUUAGAACUAAAUCGGAAUCGAGUCCUAUAUGCAUGGUAUCUAUACUUGAAUUUGAUUUAAGACAUGAUGGUUUGGAACCUAGAAACAUGGUCUCUAACAUGACAAAUGCAUAAUAUUAUGGAUAUGGUUUCUAUCUGACGCAAAGGACGUUGGAAGUGAAACCUUAUAGGCAUGAUUUCUAUUUGAUGCAAACGAAAUUAGAGGUGAAAUCCUAUGGGCAUGGUUUCUAUUAUGCAAACAAAAUUAGAAGUGAAAUCCUGUAGGCAUGGUUUAUAUUAUGCAAAAGCAAUCAGAUUCAGCAAGAGUAACACCCUAUGAACAUAUUUUCUAUCGAGUAAAGCAGGCAGAUUUGAAAAGUGAGAUCUUCGGAGAAGGAUUUCUACCCAUAUUACCCCACAAAAUAUCUAUCUACCCCCAUUUUCACUAAGGGAAUCUACAAUUAGGACCAAGUCUUCCAAAGCCUCCAAUGGUCUUACAAGCCUCGUUUCCAUAGACAAAUCAGAGUCUAGGUGCACUAAAUUUCCCUAAAGGUCUCAAGGACCCCAGGCAAUACUUACACCUAGACUUAGUAACCAAGCAUUGAACCAUUGCAGUAUGGAAAGGCCAGCCUCAGUAUUCCAGAGUUCAGAGGGCUCUCAAGAGGAACACAAGGCAGUACACAUACUAGAGAUGACAGAACUUAUUAACUAAGAGUGACGGGGAAUUGGAAGACACAAGUUUGAAAGAGUUAUUGAAGACUGUAUUGGAAAUCCUAUUUUGAAAGCACUUAAUAAAGCAACAGAUAUUGCUCGAAAGGAGGUUGGAGUAGUAAACAAGUUUAAACACCUUAGGAAAAGAUCACGCAUAGCUAGUUUUUCAGAAUUCAAUAGUCAUACAGGGGUCAAGGGGUUUGGGGAUACAUAAACAUUUGAAUACAAACACAUGACCCCAACAAUGGGUCUUAGGACUGGUUUGGACAUGCUCAGAGAUAGUUAACACUUGCAUAAUCACAACUAAUCAAGAAAAAUACAAAUACGUAGAAGGGGUGAUAAAGAUGAGAUUCACAAAAAUGAUAAGUACAAAGUAGGUAAAUGAUAAUUGUUCAGGCACACUUUGAAUCACAUAAGGGAAUAUAGUGAUUUAAAGGGAAGGGGAUUCAUACUAACAUGCUGAUAAUGUAACUUAACCAUAAAUUUCACAACAGAAUUACAAGUAGAAGCAAGCUAGAAAUAAAAAAAAUUGAAACAAUAAGAAAAGCAUAUUUUUGUUAGAGCUUUAAAUUAAACUAGGACAUACCAGUGAAGCUAGAAGUAAGCAGAAUGAAAGAACCAAAGUGCACAAAUGAUUAGCUCUAGCUUGCAGCCGGCUAAUAGUAGCAAAUAUCACAAGAGAGAGGGGAAAACAAAGAUUUUUAAUAAGAGAGGAGUUUUGAAAACCAAUUGUUUUUGUUAAUGAAAUACUUAGGGUAUUUAUAGUUGAAAGUAGGUAGUGAGAUAAGGUGAAAAUCAUAGUAGUAUACUAAUUUAAGAACUCAGAAUCAAUCAAUUAGAGAACCAAGGAGGUACUCCCUUAGGUUAAGGGAAUAAAAUCAAACUGGGAGAUUCAAUAUCAUAUAAGGCAAGAAGAAAAAUCAGUGCAUGACUGAAUAAGGAAGGAGUCAAGGUUCAGUAAGCAUAGAGUAGUCGAUUAGGACCAAAUUCAUAAAGCCUUAAUUAAGAACAGAAAUCAAUAGAGAUAAGUAUCAUAUCAAAUAUGGUAAGGAAAUCAGUCGGCUUAAACAGACGGGGUAAAGCUUGUAAGGCUUUAAAAGAAAAUCUUUCAAUGUCCAUCAAGUAAGGAAAUCAGAAUCAAUCAAGAGGGAGUCAUGAUUAUGCAUUUUCAACAUAUAAAUAGAGGAGAUCAAUAGAUGUAGAAAAGGGAAAAGUUAGCCAUAUUGACAGAAAGAAGCAAGAGAUGAAAAAACAAAGUGAACAUAGUCACAUAGAAGUGACAUAAGUAGGCUAGGAAUUUAGUAAAACACAUUCAAAAUAUGGUGAGGGUCUAUUUGGAAACAGUCUCUCUACCCCAAGGUAGGGUAAGGUCUGCGUACACACUACCCUCCCCAGACCCCACUAUAUGGGAUUAUACUGGGUUGUUGUUGUUGUUGUAAACUACUAGCAUCGAAGAUGCUCUUAUUUCCACUACCUCUUAACGGUUGUUACUAAAGUUUAUGACUUUAUCCAUAUAUAGAUAGGGUAUUGAGGGGGGUUUGCUUUUCGUCCAAAGUGUACUUCUUACUUUAUAUACUUGUUUUGCUGAUAUUAGGUAAGAAGAGAUUUAAGGCUCCUCCAAGCAGCUAAUUUGGAGGAGGUUUUGAGUGCCUCCUUUCAAGUUCUUUAUGGAAAAAGACCCAAGCAAAAAGUGCAGCUCUUAGAAAGGUACUUUGAUCCCUUUAAUUGUUUACAUUCGAAACAUGGUGACCACAAAAGAUCAACAAGAAUAACAUAAAUAGGCUAACACACAGAACCAAGGCAAAGAGAAUCAUGCUGACACACAUAACCAAAGUAAAGAAAUCAUGCUAACUCACAGAACCAAAGCAAAGAAAAUCAUGCUAACACAUAGAACCAAAGCAAAGAAAAUCAUGCUAACACAUAGAACCAAAGCAAAGGAAAUCUUAAAAAUCAGGGCUUUAACAGAGUCGAGUUAAAAGAAUUAGGAGCAUUAAAUUGGUCAAAAUAAGCAAGGAAAAAGGUUUAAUCACAAGAAAAUCGGUUAAAAAGGUGUAUAAGGAUCUCCAGAAAAUCCUAGUUUUCAAAGAAAGUAAAAAUGGUUUAAAAUGGAGAUUCUUUUAAAAGAAUUUCGAGAAUAAGCAAAUAGAAGGAAACAUGCUUAAAGUGUAAGAAUAACAUAGACCUGAUAUUAAGAAGAGAGUUAGGAUUUCAAAGGGAAACCCAAAUAAAAAUUGAAAGAACAUGUUGCAAACUUCACCGAUCGUAACAAAUAAGUUGUGAUUUUGCCCAAAGUCACAUCGGAGAAGACAUGAGUAAUAGAAAAAAAACUAUAAGUCCAAAUCGGCAUGGCCUAUGACCCUUGAAGGUCUUAGAGAUGAUGAGGAAGGCGAUGAGAUACUCACUGGAGGCUUGGGUUGAAAGGAUGGUCGUCGGAGAUGACCGGAGAAGGAGGCGAUUGACGGGAUCUAGGGCUAGGUUUGAGAGAUGAGAGAAGAUGAGAGUAUUUGAAGGCGGCGGGGAUUUGGAAAUGUGUAAGGUUAUGGGUCUUUUGGAAAUUAAAAGGAAAAGAUGAAUGAAGGUAGUUGAUCUUUUGGAUCAACGACAAGGAUCUAAGAUAGCUUGGGUCGAGUAAGGAUAACUGGCUUGGGUCGGGUUAUUAACUAGGAAAUUGGGUUGGGGAUUGGGGUCCGAUUUAGCUAGGAUUGAAAGUUAAAUUUGGCUAUUAUUUAAAUAGCUAGUUUUUUCCCAUUUUAAUUUAUAAAAAAAAAUAAUAGGUAAUUUCCGAAAAAUAAUUUAAGGUGCCAAAAAUUUAAAAUGCAUAAUUAAUAUUUUAAAAAUAUAAGAACAAAUUUACGCACAUGAAAUAUAAUUUUAUCUUAAAAGGGCUAAUAAUGCAAUUACAUGCAAUUUAGAUUAAAGAAUACCAAACGUAAUAAUAAAAAUGCAUGAAAAUUAUAUUAACCAUAUUUUGGUAUAAUUAUAGAAAUUAAAUAAAUGAAUUAUCAUAACAAUAAUUUUGGAAAUAAUUAUUGAGGAUUUUAUGAAUAAAAGGGGAGAAAAUAAAUCAAUUUAAACCCUUAAAAUUAUGGAAAAAUAAUAAAAGCCUUGUACAUACUUAUAUAUAUAUAUAUAUAUAUGUAUGUAUAUAUAUAUAUAUGUGUGUAUAUAUAUAUGUAUGUAUAUAUAUAUAUAUGUGUAUAUAUAUAUAUGUAUAUAUAUGUGUGUGUGUGUGUGUGCUAUAUUGAAGGUAUUUAUGUAUAUUUAAAAUACAUAGGAAAAAUUGGGUAUCAACAAUAUGAUAUAUUGCAAGAAUGAAAAUAACAUCGAUUUAAUCCUAACUACACCAAAAAUAGUUGAUUCAAAUUUGGUCAAGUUUUUGGCGAUCGUGUACCGAAUGAUUUGAAAUUUGGUAGGAUCAUCAAAAUGACCUGUUAAGAAGAACUCAUUGUUCUGCAGUGAAUCACAUUGUAUUUCGACGAUUCGAGGUCAUUUAGAUGAGUAUUUUUUGGAGGUUUGACGGAUUAAAAUAUGAUAUACAUAUGAACAGUAAUUAUUUCUAUCAAUUUUUUUAAGUAUAACUGUUAUAUUUCAUUGAUCUCAAAUAAUAUGUACAUCAUAGAGCUCUAUAGUAGUAGUUUGGACUGGCUACUACUCAUUUACAAACUAUCAUCUAUACUAUCAUAGCUAUCUAGACACAAAUGUCAUUACAGUAAGGGAUAUCUAAAUGCUAUAGCUAAGGAAAGCAAUUAAGCUGCCGCAAGCCAGUCUGCCAAUGUUUGUAUUUCUUGCCUCGAAUAUGUAUAAGGCAACUUCUCUGCAAAUCAGUUCCUCCACAAAAGCAGUCCCUUCAAAUCGAAUGCUAUUCCUAACUCUCCAGACGAGGGCAACAAUAGUGACAAAAGCAGAAGCUGUAAUAACAUUUUGCAACAAAUCUCUUUUUUGCUUUGCUGCAAAUCCAGUGAAGUUCUGUGUCCCAGCUACCAACUAUUCUGGAAUGCCUCAGCAAGCAACAUAUUCUUGUCCACAGUCUGUUAGUUAUUGGGCACUCAAAAAUAGGUGAUUGAAUUCUUCAACAUUUUGAUUGCAAAACACACAAGUUGCUGGGACUUGUAUGCCAAUGUUCUGCNNNNNNNNNNNNNNNNNNNNNNNNNNNNNNNNNNNNNNNNNNNNNNNNNNNNNNNNNNNNNNNNNNNNNNNNNNNNNNNNNNNNNNNNNNNNNNNNNNNNNNNNNNNNNNNNNNNNNNNNNNNNNNNNNNNNNNNNNNNNNNNNNNNNNNNNNNNNNNNNNNNNNNNNNNNNNNNNNNNNNNNNNNNNNNNNNNNNNNNNNNNNNNNNNNNNNNNNNNNNNNNNNNNNNNNNNNNNNNNNNNNNNNNNNNNNNNNNNNNNNNNNNNNNNNNNNNNNNNNNNNNNNNNNNNNNNNNNNNNNNNNNNNNNNNNNNNNNNNNNNNNNNNNNNNNNNNNNNNCAGUCAAGUCUAGAAUGUUAAGACCUCCAGCUGAUAUUGGUCUGCACACCUUGUCCCAAGCAACCAGUGCCCUUUUGGAUAGAUUAGCAGUGCCAGUCCAAAGGAAUGUUCUGCAAAUUUCUUCAAUGGCUUUCAGUACUUUCUUGGGUAAAAUGAAUACUUGUGCCCAAUAAGUAUGAAUGCCAAACACCACAGCUUUGAUCAAUUGGCUUCUCCCUGCAUAUGAUAGAAACUUAGCUGACCAGUAAGUAAUUUUAUCUGCUAUCUUUUCAAUUAGGGGCAGAUAAUGAUGGAUAGCCAGAUUUUUAGAAUCAAGUGGUAUCCCUAAGUACUUGAAUGGAAGUUGGCCUUCAGUGAAAAUCCCAAAGUUUCAAUUAUUUCUUCUCUGGUACUUUGCUGCACACCAGCCAGAUAAACUGCACUCUUGCUAAUAUUUGCCUGAAGACCAGAUGCUUCUGAAAACUGAAGGAAAGCUUUCUGCAAGAUCUGGAUAGAUAUAAUAUCAGCUCUACAGAACAUAAGAAGGUCAUCAGCAAAACAAACAUGAGAACAAUUGAGUUUCCUGCAUUUGGGAUGGAAGUUGAAGUUCCCAUCCUUGUGUAACUGAUUCAGGAUUCUGUUUAGGUAUUCCAUAGCCAAUACAAACAAAUAUGGUGACAUAGGUUCAUCCUGUCUAAUACCUCUCUUAGCAGUGAAUGGCUUAGUUAAGCCACCAUUCAUUACUAAGGAGUAGGAGACAGAGGUGACACAAGCCAUUAUCCAGUGAAUAAACUUUGCUGUGAAGCCCAAGUCAAUAAGAAUCUGCUUCAGAAAGCUCCAUUCCAAGGUGUCAUAUGCCUUCCUCAAAUCUACUUUGAGUACACAUCUGGGGGAUACACCUUUUCUUGAGUAACCCUUGAAGAUUUCAUGGCUUAACAAGAUAUUAUCAACAAUACUUCUCCCUUCAAUAAAAGCANNNNNNNNNNNNNNNNNNNNNNNNNNNNNNNNNNNNNNNNNNNNNNNNNNNNNNNNNNNNNNNNNNNNNNNNNNNNNNNNNNNNNNNNNNNNNNNNNNNNNNNNNNNNNNNNNNNNNNNNNNNNNNNNNNNNNNNNNNNNNNNNNNNNNNNNNNNNNNNNNNNNNNNNNNNNNNNNNNNNNNNNNNNNNNNNNNNNNNNNNNNNNNNNNNNNNNNNNNNNNNNNNNNUGAUCAUAUGAGGCAUUUUGCAUGUAGAAAAGAAUUCCUUAGUAGCAGCUAGAAUAUCACCCUUCACCAUCUCCCAGUUUUUAGUAAAGAAUUCCACUGAAAAGCCAUCUACUCCUGGGGUUUUAUCUUUAGGCAUCUCUUUUACAGCUUCAAUGAUUUCUUCCAAUGUAACCUCUCUAAUUAGCAUUCUUUGAUGUGCUAGAUUUAAGCACUGUCCCUCUUUUAUUAUUUCAGAAUUGACACAAGGGAUUUCAACACCACACUCCCCCAUUAAUGAUUGAAAUACCUUUAUGAACUCCUGUUCCACAGAUAAAGGGUCAGUGACACAAGGGAGUUCAGCAGCACACUCCCCCAUCAAUGAUUGGAAUACCUUUAUAAACUCCUGUUCCACAGAUAAAGGGUCAGUAAGUUUCAAACCUGUGUCAGUAUAGAUGGAUGUGAUGUUGUUCUGGCCUGUUCUAAUCUUCCACUGAGCAUGGAAAUACUUUGUGUUAGCAUCCCCACAAUCAAUUCAGCAAGCCUUGGAUUUCUGCCUCAGAAUUUGUUCCUCCACACAACUCUACUUCUCAAUUUCUUCAAGUGCUGCUUUUUCCUCAGUAAAUAAUAAUUGUGUUAAUGGGCUGUUCUACAGUUGAGUUUCAAUAAUACACAAUUUUAUCCUUGCCUGAAUAAGUUUCUUCUUGUAUGAGGCCAUAUGAACAUUUGUCUCCUUUAAAUGCUGUUUCAUGGCCUUCAAUUUACUCCAUAUCUGCUGCAUAGGUGUUCCUUAACAUUCUUGUAUCCUUUAAAUGCUGUUUCAUAGCCUUCAAUUUUCCAUAUCUGCUGCAUAGGUGUUCCAUCACAAUCAUGUCUCGAAACAUGCUGUAAAAUGCUAUGAAACUGAGGUUGUUCCAUAAUAGCUAGGUAUAGUCUGAAAGGUUUAGGGUGCAGUGGUUUUUGAUCUCCAAAUUUGAUAAGAAUAGGGGAACGAUCAGAGACUGAAGGAUUCAUGAAGUCAGCUUCCAAGUGCCCAUACUGUUGUAACCACUGAAAAUUGCCCAGAGCCCAAUCAAUUUUACUAUAAACUCUAGUGGAAGUACCUUGCUUAUUGGUCCAAGUGUCAUGCCAAGCUUUAACUCUAAGAGCAGUGAGUUGCAGGUCAGUGAUAGUAUCUUUGAAGUCUUUCACUUCAGCAUCAGUAACUGGAGAGCCAUUCUGUCAUCAGUACAUAAGACACAGUUAAAAUCCCCACUGAGCAGCCAAGCAUCUUGACUGGGAACAUAGAUUGACCUUAAGUCACUCCACAGUUGAUUCCUGAGGUUUGCAGUAUUAUGGGCAUAUAUAACACUUAAAUGAGUUCUGGAUUGGCUAAUAGUAUCUUCUAAAAAACAUUGAAUGAGUUGAUCAGUCACAUAGGAUAUUUGGAUCAGGAUAUGUGGUUUCCAAAGCAACUAUAUUCUACCAUUUGCAGCCUUUGAGUAAUUGCAUUGAACCUUCCAAUCCUUAGCAACCUUAUCAAGUAUCUUCCUAGCUUUAUGCUUCUUUACUCUAGUUUCAAGACAUCCCAUAACAUCUACUUUAUUAACAUCAAGAAAGUUUUUCAACUCCUUCUGUUUAUGGGCUUGAUUAAGCCCCCUAAUGUUCCAAGUGACAAUAAUCAUAGGAGAUUAGGGGGUGAUCUGUGUGAAGGCCCCGGGUCAAUCUGUUGAACCAUGUUGCCAGCCACAACAAUAGUAGCCUUCCCUUUAUUGCAAUUAUCAACCAUUACUUCACUGUUACCAUUGGGUGCAUUGACUGCAAUCUCAAGCCUCUCUUGGAUAUCAGGUCCAGUUUGUGCAUUCUGCUGAACACUAGCUAAAUAAGAGAGGUUCUCAUUCUCCUUGUUAGGUUCCUGCACUUCCUGUACUACUGAAUUGACUGCAAUCUCAUGGCUUACCCGUACUUCUGCAUUAGCUACAGGCUGCUUGACAAGCCAUUCUUGUUUAGUAUUGUUUGCCUGCUUCUUCAAUUUCCCUCUCUGCCUCCUUGGUUUACCCUGCUCCUCCAUAUCCUUCUCUGCAUUGUUAUCAGCAUAGUACCAGCAAUCCAAAGAAUCAUGCCCAAAUUUCAGACAAUGAUUACAGAAAAUAGGCUUCCAAUCAUACUCAAUUACCUGAACAAAUCAUGUCCAAAUUUCAGGCAAUGAUUACAAAAACUAGGCUUCCAAUCAUACUCAAUUGCCUGAAUCUUAGGGCCAUAAGGAGUUUCAAUCUCUUAUUGGUCAGGGAGUGGAUGGGCAGCAUCAACCUCCACUAGGACUCAGGCAAACGAUAUUUUCUCAUAGUGUGCAGUAAAUUUAUCAGUGCAUAAUGGCUUACCCACUGCACUGUCCAUUUUGCUCAAUACUUCAAUAGACCAGUAGCCCACCGGAAGUCCAGGAAAACGAAUCCAUACAGGGACAGUACUGAGAAUAUCACUUUGAAAAGAGAAAUCAACUUCCAAGGGCUUCAAAACCACUGGUUUAUUCCUAUAGGAAUAAGGUCCAAAUUGCAUGACUAAAUCCCUAUCCUCGAUACUAUUGAAUCGAAAAAAACAAUAGCCUUCAGUAUGAAUUAGGACCUGGGGUUUAGCCACGAAAUUCCACACAUGCAUGACGAAAUUAUCCAUAGUUUUCUCAUUCGGAUUAUCACCAAUUAUAUAGCCAAUUAAAGCAUUUUUCUAAUAAUCCACUUGAGAUUUCAAAUCGUCCUCACUGAUUUUAACAACCUUCUUGCCAUCUCGGUCAGUGGGGGGAACGAACGAGAGUGGCUUGCCCAUUUGAGUAUUACGGUUUCCUCGCACAACUUUAGCUGCAGUCGGAAUUGAUUUUUCCGAUCCACUGGCAUCAGAGAACUGUCGUCGUCUUACAGCGAUGUUAGUAGGUGCUUCGGUCUUCGGAGGUGGCAAUUCAUUCAUAUCACCCUCUGCAUGCAUCACCUCUGUCGAUUGGAAUUUCUGGGGCAGAAAAUUGCCAAAUGUUAAUGGUUCGAGCUCCUUUGUAAUGCCAUGAUCAGGAGUAACUAUUUGCGCAAUACUGAGCGGUGCAUUUCGCCGGCAACGAGCCAUUGUUCCGGCGACAAUGGCGAUCCUGCUAUUGUGCGCCGAGAGAGAAUUUGGUGUGGCAAGUUCUCCUCAACUCGCUUAGCGAUCCUGCUAUUGUGCGCCGACAGAGAAGGCUCUGUGCUGGAGAACUUAUUUCUUGUAUUCCUUUUUACUUAUUUCUAUCAUUUUAUUUAUGUCUAAUCUGUAACAUGAUAAAGCAUACAGAUUCGACAUGAAUUGGUAUAUGAUAAGAAUGCAGGUCAUAUUUUAAAUUCUUAAAAAAAAAUAAAAUGAAUUUGGUUGCAAUUUUGGGAUAUUAUGAUUUUAACGAUCCGCGAUUGAUAUGAUAUUUGGCAGGUUUAUCAAAAAAUAGCCAGUGAACAAUACUCACUGCUAUGUAGUAAAAAAUGUUAAUUUUAGCGCUUUAAGACUAUUUAAUUUGGGUAUUGAGCAUUUUUUUAAUUAUGAAACUUAAUCCCCGGAGAAAAGUUCAUGGUUGUGAUAAAAUGGUUAUAGGAAUUAACUCUUUUGAUAUCUAUUUUUUUUAAUUUAUAGUGAAAUAAUAAAUUUACCUGUAGACAUUAGGUCUUCCUCCAUAUCGAAUAAAUUUAUUUUGAACUCACUGAAUAUAGUUACUAGUUAUUGAUAACUUGUAUUAACUCUCUAUCUAAGUUUAAAGGGUUGAAUCAAUUUUAUAACUCAAAUACAAUCAUGAUUAAGUAGUGAUAGAAUUAUAUAUUUAUGGUUUCUCACAAUUAAUUUCAAGUGAGUAAUAAAUUUAUACGCUGACUUUAGGUUUUCCUCCAUAUCGGAUAAAUUUAUGUAAUCUCACUAGGUUAAAUAUAGUAAUUAAUAUCGUGUACUUACUCUCCAUCAUGAGUAUACAUGUUGGACCAAUGGAACUAGAGAUAUUAACUAUGAUGUUAACUGACUUAAUAGUAUACUCUCCAUCUGAGUUGUGUCUGUUUUAAUUAUUGGAGUGGAUAUCUGGCAUUACAUAUGUAUGUUGCAUGAGUAGUUCUUUUACAUAUCUAACUUCUUAUGAGAGACUUUAUUAAGAAUAUAGCAUGCAGAUAAAAUAGCUUUCUCCCACAUAUUAUUAUAUAAACCUGAACUCAAAAGCAUAAAAUUUAUCAUUUCCUUAAGGGUUCUAUUUUUUCGUUCGCUUACACCUUUUGUUGGGGAGUAUAGGGAGCACUAAUCUCAUGAAUAAUACCAUGAGUCGGAUUACGACAAGGAAGGAUCAUGGGAUGAAAUCAGUAAAGAGUUAGCCAAUUUGAGGAGAAACCCAAACCAAACCUGAGAGAUACAGAGGCAGUCAAUUUAGGGAGCCCGAGUAAUAUUACAAAAACAAAAAUAAGUGUCCGUCUGGAGUCAACUUAGGAAAGAAAUAAUUGGAGUACUGCUUGAAUACAAAGAUGUCUGCAUGGUCAUGCAAUGAUAUGCCCGGAUUGAGCACUAACUUGGUGGUUCACAAGCUUCCCACUGACCCAGCCUGUACUCCUGUCAAAUAAAAGUUGAGAAAGUUUAAAAAUGAUGUGAGCGUGAAAAUCAAAGAGGAAGUGACCAAGCAAUUUGAUGAAAAAGUUAUCCGAGUCACACGAUAUCCCAUAUGGUUAGCUAAUGUUGUGCCCGUACCAAAGAAGGAUGGUAAAAUCAGGGUGUGUGUCGAUUACCGGGACCUCACCAAAGCAAGUCCAAAGGACAACUUCCCCCUGCCGAACAUUCACAUAUUGAUUGUAAAUUGUGCAAAGCAUGAGAUCAGGUCAUUCGUGGAUUGUUAUGAAGGUUACCACCAGAUCUUAAUGGAUCAAAAAGAUGCAGAGAAAACAACAUUUAUCACAUCGUGGGGAAGAUAUUGCUAUAGGGUCAUUUCUUUUGGUUUGAAGAAUGUCGGAGCGACAUAUAUGAUGGCAAUGACAACCAUUUUCCACGAUAUGAUGCAUAAAGAAAUUGAGAACUAUGUGGAUGAUGUGAUUGUGAAGUCCAGAAAGCAAUCCGAUCAUGUCAAACAUCUAAGUAAAUUCUUCUAGAGGCUCCGCAGGUAUGCUCUCAACCUUAAUCCGGCAAAAUGCGCAUUUGGGGCCCCCUCAGGGAAGUUUCUAGGGGUCAUAGUCAGCCGACGAGGCGUUGAACUAGAUCCAUCAAAGAUCAAAGCUAUAUAGGAAUUACCGCCACCGAGGAACAAAACAGAGGCGAUGAGUCUAUUGGAAAGAUUGAAUUAUAUCAGUCGGUUCAUUGCUCUGCUCACCACCAUCUGCGAGCCCAUAUUUAAGCUACUUAAAAAGGAUGUUGUGGUGAAAUGGAUGGGAGAGUGCCAAGAGGCUUUUGAUAAGAUAAAGGAAUAUUUGUCGAAUACACUAGUGUUGGCCUCGCGGGAACAAGGAUGGCCCUUGAUAUUAUAUUUGACAGUCUAUGACAAUUCCUUUGGAUGCAUGUUGGGUCAGAACGAUGUCACCGGGAGAAAAGAUCAUGCUAUAUACUACCUUAGCAAUAUAUUCACGGCCUAUGUGGUUAAGAAGGCCCUUGAUCUUAUAUUUGACAGUCUUGGAUUAUUAAUUGGACGUGUGUUGGGUCAACACAAUGUCACCGGGAGGAAAGAGCAAGCCAUAUACUACCUUAGCAAGAAAUUCACUGCCUAUGAGGAUAAGUAUACUCAUCUUGAAAGGACAUGUUGUGCCUUGAAGUGGGUAGCCAAAAAGUUGAAACAUUACUUGUCAUCAUAUACCACUUAUCUAAUCUCACGUCUGGACCCAUUGAAGUACAUUUUCCAGAAGCCCAUGCCAAUAGGAAGGCUCGCGAAAUGGAAAAUCUUACUUACUGAGUUUGACAUUAUCUAUGUGACUAGGACUGCAAUGAAAGCACAUGCAUUAGCUAAUCAUUUAGCUGAGAAUCUGAUAGACGAAGAAUAUGAUCCCUUGAACACAUACUUACCGGAUGAGGAAGUGAUGCAUAUUGAUGAAGUGGAACAGGUUGAGCAGUCAGGAUAAAACUUAUUCUUCGAUGGGGCUGCCAACAUGAAAGGCAUCAUGAUAGGAGCAGUGCUCAUUUCUGAAGAAGGGCAUCACUACCCAGUCAUAGCUCAACUCUGCUUCUAUUGCACCAACAACAUGGCAGAAUAUGAAGCAUAUAUUUUGGGUCUGAGAUUGGCAGAAGACAUGGGUGUCCAUGAAGUUUUGGUCUUGGAAUACUCGGACCUAUUGGUACACCAAAUUCAAGGGGAGCGGGAAACAAGAGAUUUAAAACUCAUACCAUACCGUCAAUGCUUGCAUGAUCUUUGCCAACGAUUCUGGUCGAUAGAGUUUAGGUAUAUCCCCAGAAUUCACAAUAAGGUUGCUGAUGCCUUAGCUACUUUGGCGUCAAUGUUACAUCAUACGGACAAGGCUUAUGUUGACCCGAUACAUAUCCGGGUCCAUGAACACCAUGCUUAUUGCAACAUGGUAGAAGAAGAGCUUGACGCUGAGCCUUGGUUCCACGAAAACAAAGAAUAUAUCAGGAGAGGUGUGUACCCGGUACAAGCCACAAUCGACCAAAAGAGAACAAUUCGUCGUUUGUCAAGUGGAUUUUCUUCAGUGGAGGAGUAUUAUACAAAAGGAUCUGGAUAUUGGUUUGCUAAGAUGCGUAGAUGUUGGGCGGGCGACACCCAUCAUGAAUGAGGUGCAUGCUGGCGUCUGAGGGCCACACAUGAGUGGAUAUGUUUUGGCAAAGAAGAUUCUUAGGGCGGGAUAUUAUUGGCUCACCAUGGAGCGGGAUUGUAUCAGCUUCGUGCUCAAAUGUCACCAAUGUCAGGUGCAUGGAGACUUAAUUCACUCCCCAACAUCUGAAUUGCAUACGAUAUCUGCACCAUGGCCUUUCGUUGCUUGGGGCAUGGACGUCAUCGAGCCCAUCAAUCCAGAAACUUCUAACGGACACAGGUUCAUCCUGGUUGCUAUUGACUAUUUUACGAAGUGGGUUGAAGCUAAGACCUUCAAGCCAGUGACCAAGAAAGCCGUGGUCGACUUUGUACAUGCAAAUAUCAUUUGUCGGUUUGGAAUCCCCAAGAUUCUCAUCACUGAUAAUAGGGCAAAUCACAACACUCACUUGAAGAAAGAGGUAUGUCAGCAGUUCAAGAUCACACAUCGAAAUUCCACCCAAAGAAUCCCCAAGAUUCUCAUCACUGAUAAUGGGGAAAAUAUCAAUAGUCACUUGAUGAAAGAGGUAUGUCAGCAGUUCAAGAUCUUACAUCAAAAUUUCACCCUGUACCUCCCCAAGGAGAAUGGAGCGGUCGAGGCAGCCAAUAAGAACAUAAAGAAGAUACUUCGUAAAAUGGUGAUCCAGGCAGUGACAUGAGAUGUUACCCUUUGCGUUGUUAGGCUAUCGCACUACCGUCCGCACCUCGGUAGGGGCAAACCCAUAUUUGUUGGUAUACGGCACAAAAGUAGUAACCCCGGCUCAAAUCAAAAUCCCUCCCUUCGGAUCGUGACUGAAGUAGGAAUCGACGACAAAGAAUGGGUUAAAACUCGUUAGGAGCAAUUAAGUUUGAUUGAUGAGAAAAUAUUGGCAGCGGUGUGUCAUGGCCAGUUGUAUAAAUAGAGGAUGGACAGAGCAUAUAACAAGAAAGUGCGUCCAAGAAAGUUUGAAGUAAGUCAAUUAGUGUUGAAACACAUCCACCCUCACCAGGCCAAGGCAAAGGGAAAGUUCGCUCCAAACUGGCAAGGACCGUUUGUUGUGUAAAGAGUAUUGUAUGGGGCAUUGUACCUAACAGAUGUGGAAGGAAAAUGUGUAGAAAUGGCUAUCAAUUCAGAUGCAGUCAAAAUAUAUUAUGUAUGAUUUUCUUUUGUUUGAAUCAUUGUCUAUACUUGGCGUUUGUUUGUACUUCGCAUGUUUUAGAGAUUGAAUUGAUGAAGGCAUUGUAUUUAGCUAUCUAAACACUUUACCCUUUGUUAACCCUCUUGAGCUUCAAUUAUUUUCUUACAUACCCCUCUUUCGGAAUCAGUGAUGAAAGUCGAAAGUACAAUCAUAAGAAGGCAGUGAAAGGACAAGAACGAAAGGAGAAAGGAAAGCAAAACAAAGGAAGAAAAAUAAGAAAGAAAAGAAAAGAAAAUAAAAGAAAGAAAAAAAGAAAAAAAAGAGAAAAGCAAGAAAAAAUCAGCAGAAAAAAGAAAAAAAGAGAGGAAAACAAACGAUUGUGAAAGUAAAGAAUCAGUAGGAACUACGUUUGACCUGAUUCCUUUUAAAGAUACGUAGGCAGCUUUAUGCCUCGAUCAUAUUCAAAUAAAAUCCAAAGGCCCCAAGCAAGAAACUGGCAGAAACUGCGCUUGUUAUAAUAAAUUGAAUUCCGAAAGUUGUAAGUUGUAAACCCAUAAGAGUGAUUUUUGAGCCUUUUAUACCCAUUUCUUUCUAACCUUCAUCCAAAAGCCUACAUUACAGCCGACAGGAAGACCUUCUGAUCAAUCUCUAAGACAUGCCAGAACAAGCAAGGAGAAGUGGACCAUACCUCGGGACGACACUCUAGUUCUUGCAAAAAAUAAUAAAAUGAGGGAGUCUUAUUGGUGAAAACCCUCACGGGCACCAUAAGGCGACGAGAGUUUGAGAGAAAUAAAGAUGAGAGAGUGUUAUUGGUGAAAACCCUUGCGGGCACCAUAUGGCGACAAGAGUUGAGAGAAAUAAAAAUGAGAGAGUCUCAUUGGUGAAAACCCUCACGGGCACCGUGAGGCGAAGGUAAGGCAAGAAGCAACAACUGGAAAGGGGUUGUUGGUGGAAAUCUAUUUAGAACACCGUAAGGCAAGCAUAUCUAGGGUUUGGUUGAAGGAAUCGGGUCAAAAAUCGUCACAACAACAAAAGCAUGGUAAUAGAAGGCUAGUCAUCAGAACAGACUGGGUCGACUAAGCCGAAGAGCAUGUCAUGAUCACGAAAAACCAGCUGCCCUUCCUCAAUUAAAAUUCCUUUCUCUUCCUUUCAACGGUCAGUGAAUGUGGAAUUCUUUACCUUAAAUACAGUUCUGAGUCAUUACAUUUUAUUUUUCUUUCGAGUCUCUAAUGUCUUUUGUUUGAGUAUACGAGAGAAAUUUCAAAGCCUAUUAUCAGCUCCCAAAGGGACAAAGCGCAUGACAUCCAAAAACGUAACGAAGGCAACAAAGUUUGAAAAGCAAGGGGAGAGAGUCAGAAGAGCUUCAAUGAUAAACUUGAUUGAAGAGACAAAGUUUGGUAAAGUGAAGGAGCACAACAUAAAGAUGGGGAAGCAAAGUAAAACCAUGAGGGUCAGGGGGCGGCCGAACACAACACACUGACCGAGUAAUCUCAAAAAGGAUGCAAGGAUUUUAGCAAAAGAAUCAAAAGCGCAACACGAAGUAGGAAGGGCCACAAGGAAUAACCAAGCGUAACAUGUCGACUCAGCAACCUCAGGAAAGGAUGUAAGAAUUCUAGCAAGAGGGUCAGAAGUGCAACAGAAGCAUGGGAAAGUAGAGUAGAGCCACAAGGGUCAGAGGGUCAGCCAAGCAUAAUACAUUGACUUGGUAAUCUCGAGAAAGGUGNNNNNNNNNNNNNNNNNNNNNNNNNNNNNNNNNNNNNNNNNNNNNNNNNNNNNNNNAGGGUUAGAGGGUCAGCAAAACAUAAUACAUUGACCUGUUAAUCUUGGGAAAGGUGCAAUAGUUUGGGCAAAAGGGUUAGGAAUGCAACACAGUAAUGGGCAAGCAAAGUAAAGCCAUAAAGGUUCGGGGGUUAGCCAAUAGCCUCAGGCAACUCAUCAUCAACAUGGAAAUUUGAACACAACGAAACACGACAGUGAGGAGGCCGCUUCCAACAAGAGUGACUCCAGCUAACCACCGUUUUUCAAACUGACAAGUUUUCUUUGAUUGACACGGGGGCAGAAAAAUUCCGGAAGAUCCUAGGGGAGGCGAUCCACAGGGGAAGGCAGGCACUUGGAAGGUAUGACCAAAACCUCAAGGCACAUAGUCUGUCAUAAAUGUUCUCCCCAACAAGAGUAUAUUGGGACCAACUUUAAUUAGCAAACCCCAACAGAAACAACUGAGGGUUAAAAGGGGCGUGGAAAUUGAAAUAGGCCUCAUUUUAAAAACCCAGACAUGCAUGGGUAACAGGGGUAGGCACAAACAACUUCCCCGAUAAGAGUCACUGAAACCCUCCUGAACAAUGAUCAUUAGCAGGAACAACCAUAAGUUAGAGUUGGCAUUUAAGUAGGAACCCUCAGGACCCUCCUAGAAAAUGAGACAUAUUUAAAGUUUAGAGGUAGUCAUGGAUAACAAAAAGCAUAAAGUGACUUGCAUAGGAUUGAAGUAGAGGUUGUCAGGACCCUCCUGAAAAAUGGGACUUAGCCUAGAACACAAAAAGUUGGGUGGCAUGGUCAAACCCAAAUGCUUCUCCAAUGAGAGUCAUCAGGAUCCGCCUGGAUAAUGGGAUUUAAUCGUAGAAGUUGCCAAGACCCAUUGGAUAAUGGGACGUAGCUCUAAAUACUAACCCCCAACAGACACAUUUGGUCAUCUAACUAAGAGUUGGAAGGACCCGCCUGGAUAAUGGGAAGUAUUUUUAAUCACCAAUCACCAGCAGAUCUCCACCAUAUAUAACUCAUAACGAGACAGUGGAAAAUAAUACCUUUUGAGAAAACAUAACAUAAUCUUAAAGUUGUCGCCAAUUAGGAAUUGUCAGGACCCUCCUGGAUAAUGGGACUUAGCUUUAGAGAUACUCGGUAAGGAGAUUUGAUUAAAACUCACAGAUCCGCGCAGCAUCAAACUGGAGCAGAAAGGAUUUCUUGUGUUUUGUUUGUUUUGUUGUGAUCAGGUACACAUGCAGCAGUCUCAGGGAAUACUUUUCAAGUUUCAAGUUUUGGUAAUCAUGUGCCCACCUGUCAGAACAAGGAAUAUUUUUCAAGUUUCAAGUUUUGGUAACCAGGCGCCCACUUGUCAGAACAAGGGAAUAUUUUUCAAGUUUCAAGUAUUGGUAACCAGGAACCCACAUGUCAGAACAAGGGAAUAUUUUUGAAGUUUCAAAUUUUGGUUAUCAGGCGUCCACCUAUCAGAACAAGGGAAUAUUUUUCAAGUUUCAAGUUUUGGUAAUCAGGCGUCCACCUGUCAGAACAAGGGAAUAUUUUUCAAGUUCCAAGUUUUGGUAAUCAGGCGCCCACCUGUCAGAACAAGGGAAUAUUUUUAAAGUUUCAAGUUUUGGUAAUCAGGCGCCCACCUGUCAGAACAAGGGAAUAUUUUUCAAGUUUCNNNNNNNNNNNNNNNNNNNNNNNNNNNNNNNNNNNNNNNNNNNNNNNNNNNNNNNNNNNNNNNNNNNNNAAGGGUAUAUUUUUCAAGUUUCAAGUUUUGGUAAUCAAGCGCCCACCUGUCAGAACAAGGGAAUAUUUUUCAAGUUAUAAAUUUUGGUAAUCAUGCACCCACCUGUCAAAAUAAGGGAAUAUUUUUCAAGUUUCAAAUUUUGGUAAUCAGGCGCCCACCUGUCAGGAUAAGGGAACAUUUUUCAAAGUUUCAAAUUUUGGUAAUGAGGCUCCCACCUGUCAGAACAAGGGAAUAUUUUUCAAGUUUCAAAUUUUUGUAAUCAGACGCCCACCUAUCAAAAAAAGGGAAUAUUUUUCAAGUUUCAAGUUCUGGUAAUCAGGCGCCCACCUGUCAGAACAAGGGAAUAAUAUUUAAGUUUCAAGUUUUGGUAAUCGGGCGCACACUUGUCAGAACAAGAGAGUAUUUUUUAAGUUUCAAGUUCUGGUAAUCAAGCGCCCACCUGUCAGAACAAGGGAAUAUUUUUUUUAAAGUUUAAGUUUUGGUAAUCAGGCGCCCACCUGUCAGAACAAGGGAAUAUUUUUCAAGUUUCAAGUUUUGAAAAUCAGGCGCUCACUUGUAGAACAAGGGAAUGUUUUGCAAGAUUCAAGUUUGGCAAUCAUGUGCCCACCUGCAGAACAAGGGAAUACAUUUCAAGUCCAGCGAUUCGACAUCAGACAUAGAAAAACAGAAAAUAAGAAGUCAACAAGACAACAAGGAGUUUACAGGGAGAAAUAUCAAUCAAUAAGGCAACGAGGAGUUUACAGGAAGAAACACAAGGCAACAAGGCAAUAAAGAUCAAGAACAAGAUUGAAGACGUAGAUUGGUUCUUUUGUAAUCCGUAGUUCAUAGCUUAGUUUAGCUUCUUCAUUUUUCACAAGGUGUGAUAAGGGGGUCUAGUAGUAGUAGUAGCAGCAGCAACAACAGUAGUGAAAUCACAGCCCAAAACACUCCAGAACUACACUGACCAGAUUCCUUUAUAGCCAAGGAUAUGUAGGAAACCUUUGAAGCAGGGUUCGGCCAGACAGUUUUCAAAAAUGCUUCUCAUGGAAUGCCAAUCAGGCAAAAAUCCUUCAGUUGCUCAUUUAUCUUUGCCCGCCGUGUCUCCGAGCAAAGAGGGACAACAAUGAUCACGUGAUUUUUGCCUCGCUCGAAAUGUUCCUAUAGAAUUCAUUAUAAUUAGGAUUUUUUUUCUUUUAUUAUUUGCAUUUUAGGAAUUAAUUGCAUGAUUUUGUGUUUAUUUGCAUUUUUUGUGCAUUUUAAAUUGAUAUAACUCAUAAAAAUACAAAAAUAACAUGUUUGCAUUUAGGACUUAGUUUUUAUAUUUUUAGUUAGUUAAUUAAUAUUGAAAAAUAAGGAAAAAAUAACAAAAAUGGUCAUUUUUAUAUUUGUUUAGUUUUUCUUUUUAAUUUGGGAUUUAGGUUAUUUUAGAAGUUAAUUAGUUUAUUUUGUAAAUUUUAAACUUGGCUUGUCUAUUUUUGUUUUAUAAUUAAUAGAAUCUGCAAAACAAAAUAAAAAGAGAACUAAUUAAAAACAAAAAAAGAAGAGAAAAGAAGGAAGUGUAAAAUUGGGCCACUUUACAUUUGGAUAUCCAUCCCAAACCCUUCAAACCAACCCCAAACCCGCUCCAAAUGGGUGACGCUUGAGACUACAUCGUUUUCUCAUAAUCAAUCAUGACCGUUGAUGAUGCCUAAUCGAACGGGCGAGAACUGCCUAGGUUACAACUAUAUAAAUGUCGGAUGCCACCCCAUACCCCUCCAAACCAUCUCUCAAUCACCCUUGACCUGCUGAUGUAACGCCAUCGUAAAAUCACUGCUCCUCCACCAUCCGUCGCAGGCUGGAAAUCGCCUCCGCAAGCGGCCGGUCUCUAAUCGAUACCAAAUUAACACCAUUUGUUCCUCUUCUCCUCCUCUUUCUAAUAACCCAAGCCCCCAAGCCCCAAACUUCGAAUCCUAGACAAUAUUUUCGAAUAUCGGUUUAAAGAUUUGGCUGCUCCGCCGUCCACGGCUCCAAUGGCCACAAAAAACACACCAUAAGUUCCCCUUUGCCUCCUCAACCCAAAACUGAACCCCACUUCCUUUGAAUCACCCUCAAACGUCUCGAAUUUCAGAUCGAAACACUAACCCAAACCCUAAAGUUUCAAAAUGACCUGAGUUCGUUCAAUUUUGGAUUAUAAUGGUCCUUCGUCUUGUGUUUCUCAUAGUAACACACGAUUAAGGACAAUUGCAGUCCAGAUUUUGCAAAGCUUGGCCAGAAUUCCCUUUGUUCGAUUAUCUGAGGUAUUUCUACCAUUUUUUCUGUUUUGUUGUUAUAGUUCUUUUUUAGUACUUGUUCAUCCAAAAUUGAUAGGUUUCUUAGUGAUUUUCUAUUUUUAUCUUUUGUUUUGUUUUGGUUUAGUUGUUCGUUUGAUUAAUCAUGUUUUAGGGGGGUUUUAUGUUAGUUCGAAUUGUUUAGAUUCAGUGUUAUUUGGCUAGGUUCUGAUUUCUCAAGUUGUUAUUCAAUUUUCAUUUUUCUUCUUGUUGUUAGUUUUGUUUCAGUCAUGGAUCCCCUGCCUGUUAUUAGUUAGAUCUCGCUCAGUUAAAUUGGUUUUGGUUAUGGCUGAUAAUCCUCGUUUAAGGGUAAAAUAAUUUGAGGUUUAGUUAAUGCAGAAUUUGUAAUUUUAGACCCUUCAAGAAAGGGGGUUAAAGUUACAAUUCUAAGACAUUAAUGUUAAAACUUGAGUCACAAGUCAGAAAAAGAGGGGUUGGUUGAGUAAAUCUGAGAAAUAAGAAGAAGGACUAAGGGGGUAAACACAAGAAAAAGGGUUGACCUAGGUGUUGGAUAUAAAAGGGCACCCUAAUGCCUUCAUUCACAAGGUUUUAGAGGCUGAAAAAUUCUGAAAAUUCCUAAAAGACUUCCAAGAACUCUAAAAUUCCAGCAAUUUUAAAAUUCCAAAAGGUCCAGGUCUGAAAUUUAGUCACUGCAAUUCAAAUUCAAAGAAAACAGAAAUGUUGUUUAGCUUGAACACCUGAAAGUUUCCAUUCAAAAUUAAGUCCUUUAGAUCCUACUCUGGUGUGAUACUUACAUAAUUUAGCUUAGGAUUUGGAUAUUGAAGCUUUCCUGGGUCUUUUGCUUGGUUCCAUUUCAAGUGAUUUAAGCUCAAUUAAGGGCUAUUUUGAGUUUAUCCUGGGUUGAGGCAAUUUUAGUUCUCAAAUUGAUCCUUUGUUUGUGUGUUGAUGUUGGGUUUUUACUGCUGAGCUACUAUUGAUUCCACCUUUCUCCUUUGCUUUAUUGUAAAUUUCAUGUACACGUCUUAAGGUUGCCGUGAUGUAGUUAUUUGAAUUGAAAUAGAAGGAAAGCAUUGCUUCCUGAUUUAUGCUCACUUGGACAUGGAAUGGUUAUAGCUAGAUAUGAGAUAAUAUAUGGUUGUUUAUGUAGUUUAAUUUAUUUAUUUUGGUUUGUAUAUAUUAGAUAGGUGAUAAUAUAUGUAUGUUUAGGUGGUUUAGUCUAUUUCUUUUGGUUUGUAUAUAUAUAAAUCUGGACUGUAUAACUUGCUUCCAUUUCGUUAUAGUUUGUAAUGGUGAAACUGACUAGUGUAAUUCUAGGGUAAGUCAAGUCUAUUUAAGGGUUUGAAAUCUGCUAACCGCCAAUAGAAAAUCAGUAAUGUAGUGUAGAUUCAAGCAUGAAAGGUAGAUUUAAAAUUAGUAUGUGAGCAAAGUUGAACUGUUCAUAUGUUAUUUCUGAGAAUUAUUAUGUUUUAUUGUGAUUUGAGUUCAUGACUUUCUGGGCUCCGCCUAAAGCCAAUGACUGGCCCGGGCUCAUAGUGUUCGCCAACCAGAACAUGCCGCCCAAAUGAUUUGGGAUUGGGCGAACUUGGAGGCCCAAAAUGAGAUUCAGCUUUACAACUGAAGCUCCGUUACACCUAGUUAAAUUCCAAAGUUCAAACGGAUAGGCAUUGAGCCUCAUAUUCACGUCCCACAGUGUCAUCCCAUAGAAUCAAUGCAUUUGUUAAGUUGUGGACAGCUAGGGACAAUUCCAAAUCGGGUUCCUGCCUUGGGUAUAACUGUAACUAAUAAACAACACUAUAUAAUCAGUCCUUUGGAGAUGAGUUCAAUAAUAGCUUGCUUUAUAAUUGGCCUUCAAAAUAAUAAAUUGAGGCGCACUCUGCCGAACAAAAUAACAAUUGCAUGGCCCUCGAUUUUAUCUUUAAUUUAUACUUAGAACUCGAGACGAGCCGUUUAGCAAAUUUUCGCAGCCUCUCGCAAAGUUAAUAAUGCGUAGCUACUUUAGGCGCGUGUUUAAUAAUAUUACUUUCCUAAAUUCAGGUGCACGUUUAUGUGACCCAAAUCCAAAUCUCAACGAAGUUGAAAUGUGUCAAAAAUUACGAGUGCAUUUAUCUGACGUAGUUCGAUGCAUGUUUUAACGACGUUGCAAUUCUCUUUAAAAAUAGUAAUAAAAGGGGCUAGAAGUUAAAUUUUUCACAUAGGUUCAUAAUGUUUUAAAAUAAGAUUUAAGACAAAUAUUACAGUUGAGCGACCGUGCUAGAACCACGGAACUCGGGAAUGCCUAAUACCUUCUCGAAGGGUUAACAGAAUUCCUCACUCGGAUUUUUGGUUGGCGGACUGUUAAACAGAGUCAUUCCUUUCUCGAUUCGGGAUUUAAAUAAUUGAAUCACGUUUCGAUUGUCCUUUAAUUGGAAAAACUCACUUAUCUACGCCCUUUCCGGGAUUGUAGUAGCCAAAAGGAGAUGUGACAAUAGUGCAGAGUGUAGUAUCAGCACAACCGACCCUAUGUGAUGGUAAGUGCCUAGCCUAACCUCGUCAAUGUAAUGACGAGGCUAGGACCAAGCUACCAAAUAUACCUGUGCAGUUAUAUGAUAUAUAGCGAAAAGUAAAGCAAAAAUAAACAAGUAAGGAUGGAAGGGGAAAAACAUGCUUCGGAAAAUAACAUGUAAGAAUAGAUUAUCAAAAGAACUAUAAAGAAAUCAAAAUCCAACCUCUAACAAAAGUAAGAAAAUAACGACUGAUUUCACUUUCUUUUCACAUCUUGUGGUAAGCGUUCCACCAACUCCCUUUUCCUUAUAUCUUGUACACCCACUCCCAUUUUAUUAUAUCUUGUUGCGGCAUGCAACCCGAUCCAUAUAUAAUAUUGUUGCAGCGUGCAACCCGAUCCAUAUAUAUAAUAUUAUUACGGCGUGAAACCCGAUCCAUGUAUAAUAUUAUUGCGGCAUACAACCCGAUCCAUAUAUAUAAUAUUAUUGCAGCCUGCAACCGGAUCCAUAUAUUAUAUUGUUGUGGCGUGCAAGCGAUCUAUAUAUAAUAUUAUCGUGGCGUGCAACCUGAUCCAUGUAUAUAAUAUUUGAAAUUAUAACAAGAGUCCGGGCGAGGGAUCAAUAAGGUGUACACUAUCCCGGAAAUGGAGAAACAGCUAUAACCAAACUUGUUCCAAUAUCUAACUACCUCAACUAUAACCAAACUCGUUCUGAUACCUAACUACCUCGAUGAUAAGUAACUUGUUACAACACCUAACUACUUCAUCUAUAACCAAUGUCAUUUCAACAUCUUACUACUUUAGUUAUAGCUAAACUUAUUUCAACACCCAACACAAGGAAUCAUAAACCUAAGGAUCUGUAAUAUCAAAUAAGAACACAACACAAGGGAACCAUAACUCAACAAUAGUGCGGCAAGGGCGGAAUAUAAUGAUGUCUUCUCUUUCUCACGUUUACUUCACAAUUUACUUCACAACUCGAGCCAAUGCUCUAGAGUUUCAAUUAUCACUUAUACUUUCACAAUUUGUUACACAACUGGAGCCAUCGCUCUUCAAUGUUCAUAAGCCACGAUUUUUUCCACAACUUUACACAACAAAUAGAAAUCUUCACUAAGGCAAGAAUAAUAGAACAAAAUCAUGAAAAUCAUAGUAUAAGACUCACGGUCAUGUUUGACACCAAUGCAUAGAUACUCGUCAUCAUGCCUAUAUGUCGUACUCAACAAGAAACAAAUAGCAAAUAUGACACAACUCCUAAUCCCUCAAGCUAAGGUUAGAACAAACACUUACCUCGAACUUCUACGCCCAACUUAAUCCUCAAAAAUCGCCUUUCCUUUCGAAUUUGGCUCCAAAUCAAUUGUAUCUAUACAUAAAUAACUUCAUAACAUCAAAUAAUGCUAAACAAUUCGAAUCCAAUGCCUAAUUAUAGCUUUCCAAUCAUUCUUCCCAAAAAUCCAAAGAUUGACCCCGGAUCCACUUGGUCAAAACAUGAGGUUCGGACCAAAAUCAAAUCCCCCAUUCACCCAAGAGUCCAAAUAUAUAAUUAUUUCCAGAAUUCGACCCCAAAACAAGGUUUAAAUCACCAUUAAUCGAAAAUUUCUAGUUCUACCCAAAUUCCUAAUUUUCUAUCCUUAAUUACAUGUUUUAGGCCUAGAAUUCUAGUGGGUGUUGAUGGAAAAUGAAGAAAACAAGUUAAAAAAUGCUCACCCAAGAAGCUUUGGUGAAUAAGUGCUUUAAAAAUCGCCUAGGAGAUUUGGAGAAGAAAAGGGUUUAAUGACCAGGUUAUAUGAAAUCCCGUUUUUUGUUAUGUUUUAAAAUCACUGGACAAGCAUUCAUCGCGUUCGCGAUAAGCCAGUUGCGUUCGCGAUGAAGCUAGCAUAAGUGACCUUUGUGUUUGCGAUAAAUGGCUCGAGUUCGCGGAGCAUCAACUCUCUCCUAGGAGCUUUGGAGAAGAAAGGUUUCAUGAAAAUUCUAUAAAAUCCUGUUUUUGGUUAUGUUUUAAAAUCACUGGAUAGGCCUUCAUCGCGUUCACGAUAGGCCUGCCACAUUCACGAUGAAGCUAGCUUAAGUGACCUUCGCCUUCGCGAUAAAUGGCUCGCGUUCGCGGAGCAUCAGCUCCCAGAGCCUUAGCGUUCGCGACCCUAUGAUCGCGUUUGCGUAGGUUUAAUACCCCUCCCCCUGUCCAGGCUCACAAGCCAUCACGUUCGCGUGUGCUGUGUCGCGUUCGCGAAGGGUAUCCCUCCUUUAGUCUCGCGUUUGUGGCUCCAGCUUCGCAUUCGCGAAUAAGAAGUUCCGCACCUGGAGAUUUGCCUUACGCAUUCGCGAGAGGGCGAACGCGAACGCGAAGAGCAAAACCCCUAGGCAUUGAACAGUAGAAACCUGCAAUUUUUUUAUAAGUUCAAAACCUCUCGAAACACAUCCGGAAUACUCCCGAGCCCUUGGGCUCCUAACCAAAUACAUGUACUAAUUCAACAACAUCAUAAGAACUUAUCAGUGCGAUUUAAAUUGCCUAAAUAACCUCAAUAACAAUGAAUCAAACCUCAAAAUCAAGAUCUUUUCCUCAAACUUCAUCAAGUUUCAAAUUUAGAAAUUCAAGUCUUAAUCACGUCAAACGACGUCUGUUUUCAACCAAAUUUAAUAGGAAGGACUAAAAUCAUAUAUAAGGCCUCUACCGGGUGCCGAAACUAAAAUACGGGCCCUAUACCAGUAUGCUCUAAUCAGUUUUCAUUUCUAAUUUCCUUAAACAAUUUCAGAAAAUAAUUUAACUUAAAAAUUUAUUUCUUGGGUUUGGGACCUCGAAAUUUGAUUCUCGGCAAAUGCUUAAGUCUCAUAUUUCCUAACGGAACCUCCGGGACUGUCAAAUCACGGGUCCGGGAAUGUUUGCCCAAAAUAUUGACCAAAGUUAAAUUUAUUUAUUUUAACAUCAAAACUUAGUAUUUUUUUAGUAAAUUUCAUAUUUAAGCUUUUCAACUACGCGUUCGGACUACGCAUGCAAAUCGAGGUAACUCUAAAUGAAGUUUUCAAGGCUCCUUGUUGAGACACAGAAUUCAAUUAAAAAUAGGUAAUGAGCCUUUGGGUCAUCACAAAUCUUCAUUCCUUCGUUCAAAACAUCAUCAGUAGUUAAGUUCUUUCACUCCUGAACCUGUUCCAUGAUUGGUUUAUCAUCAACCAUCUGAAACUUGAUCCAUUUUUUAAUGACAUACUUCUUUUUUCUGUUUUAUUAUCCUUUUCAAAUUUCUUCUUAGCAACAUCACUAGCAACAUCAGUAUUAGCAGCAUUAGAAGCUUACAAUUAUUUCCAUCUUCAGGCUCAAGCUUUGAGAGAUUAGGAAGUGUUUUGUUCAACAUGGUGGUCAUUAGUCAAUAUUAUAUGCGAACUCGCUUUCAAAUUGUAAGGAAAAUGAGUAGAUAAUAUUGACUAAGAACAAGAAGGAAAGAAGACUACAACUUAUCAAAAAUAUUAUGUCGUGGCAAGCCACUGCCUUGAAAGUGAUUUCAGCCCGACUGAAUACAAAUCGUUAAGGUCGGUCGCUCCCCAAGGUUCUACAGUACCUCCAAACAUGAGCACCCAUGGCUGGAAGUUUAGAAUUUGCUCAAAACAGUUACCGAGGAAGAAGAGAAGAUGAAGGUAUUUUAUGUAUUUGGAUAAUUCACAAAGAAGACUAGGAAGAAAGGGAUCAUUAGCUAGAUAAAUUCUUGGUUAAGAAUUGAAAGAUUAUGAUGGCUAAUUCAUAACGUAUAUAUAGGAAAUUAAGGAGGUUGCACAUACGACAAGAGUCGAGAGACUUUUGGCACUUGUCCCUUUAUGUUAGUCCACUUGACUCCAAUACUGACAAGUGUAUCUUGUCUUCGAUGCAUGAAGACAUAUGGUAGAUUUGCAUAGCCAUUUGUCAAUGCCAUUCAAUACUUGGCUUUAAGGUUUCAUGCAAGAGACCGCUUGGAAAUAGAAAACCAUUUGAAAAAUAAAUUAAAAACUCAUGACUAUUGGUUGUAAAUGGAAUUUCAAAAUGACUUUGCAUUAUGAAUAAUUCCAAUGGCUAUGAGAUUAAGCAUAAUAUUUUAAUGCCUAUUCAUAGCCAUAUAACAACAACAACAACAACAACUACCCAGUACAUUCUCACCAGGUGGGGUCUGGGGAGGGUAAUAUGUAG